AAAAGUACUUGAAAAUUAUUUGACUAAAUCAUUGAGGGCAUAAUUUAGACACUGAUAAAUAGUUAAAAGUUUUCAAUUAAAUAUGAUCAUCUAAUGGUGUUCUUAAAGUUCCGUAAUCACAGUCAGUACAAUGGUUCUAUCAAAUGAAAUAUUUCUAUACAAAAUCAAUUUCUUUUUUAUCAUAUGGAAUUAAUCGAUUUGGAAUUGUGGAUUUUUAAUAGAUAUAAUAAAUACCCCAAGUAUUUUGAUAAUAUUCUAAAAUUAUCGUUGAGUUAGUGUGUGGCUUCGGGAGUCACUGUCAUGAACUUGGUCAGUCUAACAAAUAUAACGUAACUCAUGGUAUCAUCAAAAUAUGUGCAACCUGCUCAGUAGAAACCAAAUCAGAUUAGGGAAAUUAUCUCUGUUGUCUUGGUCAAUCUUUUGUGACUUCAUCAAUAGACAUAACAUGUAGCCACGCCACAACUUUUAAUUUUAAUUGGAAUGCUUAGAAGUCUAUUAAAAAUUAUAAUGUAACCUAACUAAGAAUAAUAUCAAUUUUUCUAUUUUAAUAUAAUAUUUAAUUAAACUAUUGCCAUUAUUGCACUUAGUCAUGGCUCAUAUGUGGAUCCACUAAUUGUUUCGCACCGUUGAUUGAUUGAGGGACGGUCAAGAUUUGAUUAAAUAUUGGAAUUGGUAUGCGAUCUCAUUAAAGUUGACUUCUAAAAUUGCAUUCUCAAUUAUUCAGAUUUAAAAAACAAGAAUGAUAAUAUGAUAGUUACGUUUUAAUAUUCUACGUUUGAAAUAUUAUGUUUCUUCUCAAAGCUGCAAAUCUCAUUUACAUUACCUGGUCAAAGACUUCUUGACAUAAAUUAUUUAUGCUAUUAAUUCAGUUAGUUAAGGAUAUACUUUAAAUGAUAUGACAUUUAAUCAACCAACGAUACAACAUAUAUCGAUUUAAUAUUAAGAUAUCUAAACAUAAUGAGACGACAAGAUCAAUACUCAACAUACAAUUUAUUUUUAAUACAAUUUCUUUCAUAAAUAUUGAUACAUUAAUAAUAUUGCAUCAAUGUCAUGUCACUUGGUUUACUUUAUUUACUUAUUACUUAACUCUUUUAGUAUCCAUACGUCACUCAUUAAACUCGUAUGUAUUUUGUAUGCAUAGAAUUCAUAGAGUUCAACUCUUGUGCAUGAACUUAGGAUUUCUCUAUUAAGUUUACUUGGAUAUGAUUAUAUUGUUGUUCUAGUUUAUGACCUCUUCUAAUUUUUUUUCGAUUACAUAUGAUUUUCAUUAAAUCACAACUCUAGUUGGCAUUUCACAUCACCCGCAAUUGAUUAGUUGCUUUCUAAUCCAACAAAAUUAAUAUGGAAAGAAAUAAAUGGCAACCGAUAAAUAUUCCAACAUUAUGUAUUACGCUGAAGAUUAAGCCAAUCCCACUACUACAAAACUGAAUUUCUUUGACAGAAUGCUUUUUCACAUGAUCAUGUAUGUGUCAAAGUUUUGUGACAAAUAUAUUAUUUUGCUGAUGUCGCAAACACAAUCCUUUCAAAAUCUUUAGAGGCCUUGAAAUUUUGAUUAUCUAUAAGAGAAUAGUUACAAAAUUCUGUCACUAAUAGUAAGUUAAGUGAUUCUUGAUAGAAUACUAUCAAAACAUUUAUAUAAAAUCUCACAUUUUAAUAUUUUACAAAAAUGUGUUUUAAAUAUUUUCAUUUUUUUGACAUAAUUCUAUCAAUGAACUUUCUUUUUAAAUUUUUAAUUCCACUUAGGCAUUGAAAAUGACAUAGUUUUAAAAGAUUUCAAUGACUUAACUGAUGUGAAUAUAUCUUUAAUAAGUCAACGACAAAAUUCUAUCAAAUAAAAUUUACUAUUUUAUUUAUUUUAUGUUGCCACAUCAAUAAAUUAAAAUGAUGACAUUUCAUACGCUCAAAAAAGAAAAACUUAUGUAGGCUAAAUUCAUCACCUUAUCAGAUAAACAAAGGCCUGCUCAACCAAUAAGAAUUUGCCAUCUAAAAAGUUUAAUGGGUCUUUCAAAAAGCCUGACUUGAGUCUGAGCUUGAGUAUUUCAGGUCUAAUCUAAUAAGCAAGUUUAUAAAUUAUAAAUUUAUGAAAUACAAUGAAAAAGGUUUUAAAAAAAAAAAGAAAAAUGUUUUAAAAAAUUAAAGUAUAAAUAUGAGGUUUUACAAUUAAAAUAUCAAAUAGUGGCAAAAUGAGCGCCCAAAAAGUGCGGCAAAUUAAAAUUAUUCAAAAUUUAUCUCUUCAAUCCCUUUUUUUUUUUUAUUUUAGAGGGAAAUUUUUUUUAUGUACCACUGAAAUAAAAUUAACCCAAAAACAUUCUGUAAUUGAAAGCUUGGAACGAAUUUCACGCCUCUCGCCUUCUCUUUCACGCAUUUCGCAUUCCAUUUUCGCAUUAACACAUAAAAGGAGACACAAAUGGAAUAAUUAGAGAGAGGGAUGAGAUUCCAUUUAUUGUUUGGUUAUAAAGUACUGGAAAUGAAACAUGAGAAAAUAAUUGAGUGUUUUUUUUUUUGUUAACAUAAAAAUACGUAUUUUCUGUAUUUGAUAUUUAACAGAAAAUUCAAAGUAAAAUCAAAUCCAUUUGUAAUAUAAGUUCACUUCAUUCAUAAAAUUAAACAUAUAAAAUAAAAUUUAUAAACGUUACUUAUACAAAUACAUAUUACCAUUCAAAAUAAUAAAAAUUUGGCAUUGGAAACAAUUUUUGAAAAAAAAAAAAUUUUAAUGGAGAAAGGAAUUGUGGAGGGAAAGUUUGAUAGAAGAUGCACACUAGCUAGUUUUGGAAUUAUGUAUACCGUCAGUCAUUUUAUUAAAAAAAAUGAAAAUAAUUUGAUCAGCCACCAGAGUUUUACUUCAGUGAUUUUCUCAAUACGACGUACGGUCCUCAGAACCUUAUCAUGAUGCAUGUGUAUUCUAAGCUUCACGACAUCAUAUUAAAAACGUUUAGCUAUGACUAUAAUUUGAAAUUUGACUCAUUUUUAUGUAAAAUUUAUAGACCCACCGAUUCACCUUUUUUUUUUUAUGUUAUGAUCAUUUAGGCAUGUUAUAUUUUAAUUAUGACUCCAUGUGAAAUCAAAAUUUAAAUUUCACCAUCUUUUAUAGGAUUUGAUUAUGAUAAUCAAAUAAUGGAAUAAACACAUACAAAGGCAAAAAAAUGAAAAAGUGUACAAAUGACAAUAAGCUCUCAGAUGAGCACAAAAAAAAAAAGAAAGAAAAAAAAAAGAAACACCAAUCUCAACACUCAAAAUCAAUCAAUCCCCAGCAGUUUGGCCUCACAAGAGCUCUCUCUGUGUUGUGCUUUCCCUCAUUCAUUCUCUUUACAAAUACAAAGGCUUGCAAAAAAAAAAAAACAAACAAAACGAAUUACUGAAAACAUACAUAACAGAUCAAAAAAGCACGCGCCGCGCCCGUCCCCCAAUUCCUGCUCUGCGACAAAUGAAUCAGUUACACAAAUAUAUCUAAUUUUAAUGGACAUUGUUAAAUUAAUGAAGAAGAGCAGAGAGCAAACGAGAAGGAAAGCGUAUGCAAAUUAUAAUUACUAACCAGAGUUAUUAGCACCAUUAGAUAUAUAUAUAUAUAUCCCUGCUGAAUCCCCUCCUCUGUUCACCAUUCGUUUCUAAAAUGGAUUAAAAAAAUAACCACUAAUUAAUUUUAAUUAAAAUAGAGUGAGACACGCAAUGCAUGCAGGAGAUCUAGAAAGCAAUUACCCGUCGCGGUAGGUAUUGAUGAUUUUGGGAAUGUGGCGUAUCUUAGGCCAGUCCUCUCCUGUCUCCUCGCUGCAACGUUCUCCUAAAAUAUGACAUCCCCCAAUCAACAAUUCCUGCAGUGUUGUCUUCUGAAGCAGGUGAUCGGGCAGUGCUUUUAAUUUAGGGCAUGACACAAUUUCCAAGUAAGAAAGACGUGGCAUGAUUAUGAUUUCUCCCUUUAUUGCAGUCCCGCAAUCCCACUCUUCCAGUUCUUCCAUAUAUUCAAAUUCCAGAUGUUUCAAUUUGGGAAAGGCAAUAACUGAGGAGCCAUCCGUAUCACUUUCUACUCCCAGAAAUUCAUUACCCACUCUUUUCACACUUUUCAUUCCUUCAAUAUGAAGAGAUUCAAGGGAUGGCAAUUUUCCCAAAGGAGGCAAAUGCUCACAAUUUCUGCAAUUGUAGAGAUAUAAGACCCUUAAAUUGGUUAAUGACGUGAUCCAAUUUUUGGGGACAACAUUCCUCCUGCCUCUGUAUUCAGAAAUCUCUAAUUCCUUUAAAUUAGGAGGUGGUCCCAAGGCUUCAAGAAGCCGUUCAUCUUCAUCCUCCUCAUUCUCCCUCCUACCAGCUUGUUCUUCAUCCCCAUCUCUUAAAUGAUCAAAAUGAAGUCCCAAAUGUAAGAGAUAUUUCUUUUUCUCAAGUUCAGCCCUCGCAGCCUCACCCGCUUCUGACACACCACCCAGCCCACGUAUACCACAUUGUUGAAGGAAGUUAAGCUUUUUAAGAGACCCAAGGCUACAUGCUCUGUCAUACCCUCCGCCCACAACAAACUCUCUCACCCUCCGAAGCCUGAUUAAUUCCCCAAUCCCUGCCGGCAAGUAUCUUAAAGAAUCAGUCCCCUCAUUGUGUAAAUACAUCAGCUUUCUUAACUUCCCAAUCCCUCGAGGUAAUUCUCUAAGAUUUUCACAAUCAUCAACGUUUAAACGUUCUAAAUUAUAUAACUCACACAACGUCUCGGGUAAUUUUUCUAUCUUCUUUUGACCUUUCAAAUUAAGGUAUUUCAAAUGUAACAAUUUUUCUAUAUUUGUUGGAAUUUCCUUGAUGAAAUUCUUACACAACCACGGUUCACAUACCUUUAAUUUUAAUGUCCUUAAACAAGUUAAUUUAUCAAAUAAUUGAGGUAAAACUUCACUAGACCAUGAAUAUUCAUCACUUUUAACUAAGAGGCUACGCAAUCCUCGCAAUCCUGUAACAUUACCCCAAAUGGAGAUCGGAACCGAAGCCCCCCUACGUAGAGUUAACAGUAAAUGGAUUUUUUUCUCCCCGAAAGAGCUAAUAGCUAACUCUUCACCACUAUGAAUUUCUACUGUUAAACAUUCAUUACUACAUAAAUAUUGGGCAAAGUCGUGCACGAUAUCGUGCAUUUUGCAAUUAGAGAUUUCACCAUCAUCACCUUUGUCAAAAUCCUGAAAGAAUGAAUGGCUAGCUAAGAUGUUGAAAUACUCUUCACCAAUAUCCUCCAUCUCUUUGGCUCCUUUCUCACUAAGAUAACCUUGUGCCAUCCAUAGUUCAAUUAACUUAUGCUUCUGUAUUUCAUAGUCUUUCGGAAAGACGGCACAAUAUGAGAAACAACGCUUUACCUUGGAGGGUAAUUCUUUGUAACUCAACAAUAGAGGGGCUAAAAGGCCUUUCUCAAUUGCUUCUAGUUCCCAUAUCUCACUCUCUAAGAUAUUUUGCCAUUCUUUUUCAGUGUUUUUAGACCGCAAGAGACUAGCAAUUGUCUUUGCAGCUAAAGGUAAGCCCUUGCACUUUUUUACAAUUUCUCUACCAAUUUUUUCUAAAUUUUCACGUUUUCCUAUGGUCUUACCAGAAAUUGCCAACGACUGAAACACCGACCAGCAUUCCAUUUCAGACAAUACAUUGACAGAGAUAACAUGAGUUGAUCCCAUAAUACGGGCAACUGUUUCUUUACGUGUGGUAAUUAAAAUUUUACUUCCAUGGAGACUAUUCUUUAAACAUUUGUAGAAUGGUUCCCACUUAUAGUAAUCUUCAUUCCACACGUCGUCUAAGACAAGAAGAAAUUUCUUCCCGGCAACACAUUCUUGAAUAUGUUGCAUGAGAGAUUGAAACUCUACAAGGUCUUUGGCAGAACCUGGCUUCAGAGACUCAAUGAUUGCUCUGGCGAUCCUGAACUCAUCAAAUGGCUCUGACACACAGACCCAUGUUCUUUUCUCAAAAUUUCUUUCAACAUCACCGUUGUUGUAGGCAAAUUGAGCAAGAGUAGUUUUGCCUAUUCCCCCCAUCCCAACAAGUGAGAUGAUAGAGGGGCCUUUCUGUUCUUUACUACCCUCACAUAACAACCUAUCAACGAGUUCGUUCUUCUCUUUUUCUCUACCAAAUAUCUCGGACUCAUCAAUUGAGGAGAUACUUGGUACUCGUUGAUCCGCUCUCUCAUUAGUAACAUUCACAACAAAACCAAACAUGUCUUUCUGUUUGGCAAUAUCAUCAAGAGUUUCGUUGAUUUCUUUUAUCUUCAGAGCAAUGUCACGACGUAAGACAAGUGGUUUGCAGGCAAAGCAAGAUGCAGUAGGAAAGAAGGAACAUACCUUCUUCUUAGGCACUCCGUCGAUCUGCAGUUUGAGCCUUGCAGUGUUCCACUCACCCAACACGUCUUCCAUGUCGUAACAUGUGCAUCUGAGUUGAUCGAGCCAGAGUCUGACAGUUUCCUCCUUCACUUGCCUUUUCUCUGCAUCAUGGAGCACAGCUUCAAUGACGCGGAGACUGCUGGUCAGCUUCUUCACUUCCUUUCCGACACCCGUUACUAGCCUCACUUGUUCCUUCGCCUCUUCAACAGCCAUUGAAGUCAGCUGCUCCAAGAUAGGGGAAAGGAUCGCAUCAACCGUGGUGAAAAAGAAAAAGGAGAGAGAGAAGAAAUUGAUGGUGAAUUGUUGCAAAAGUAAGUAGCUAAUGCUGAAAGAAAUGAAGGAGCUGAUAAUGUGGUGAAAAUGUUGCCGUAUUCUUUCAAUUCUUAUAGUACUGCAAGCAAAAUUCUAAUUUAGAAAUAUUUCAUUUCAGCCCCUUGUGAAAGAAGCUACGGUUAUUAUUAUUACUUUUUUUUUUUUAAUAACAGCAAAGAGUGAAAAUGACGUACAGUUGUGGACAGGAAAUAAUAUAUAUGAAACUGACAAAUUUUUCACGCGGCGAUUCACGCGGUAUAUGAAACAGACAAAGUUUUCUAUGAUCUCUUUUUAAAGAAUUGAACAAGUUGUUAGAUAAUAUUUUUGAUCGUGUCGUCAUAUUGAGAUUUGGAAGCAUUUGCUUUACAAUCACCCAUGAACUUUAUAUUUUUUAGAUUGUUUGAUCUGAAUUAUAAGUGUUUUAUUAGCUUAGAAAUACCUUGACCAUCUCUUUCUUAUUUUCUUCUUCUUCUUUUUUUUUUUUUUUUUAAUUUGACUCGUUUGCAUAAUUAGUUGAAAGGAAAGAAUGAACAUACUAAUAAACUAGGAAAACGCUGCCACAUAAUAUUCUAAGAUUCAUAUCGAACCACUUUAUUUAGAUUUUUUCAUUUUAGCAUAUGUCUGAUAGUGGGAGUUUAGAGUUUAAUCUCUAACUUUGCUUGUGAAGUGGGAAAAAUCAAAUAAUCUUUUCAACUCGUUUUUCAACAAAAAUAGAUCACAAUUCAUCAUCAGUUAUUUCUCAUUAUGUAUAAAAUGAUCAAUCUGGAGCUGGAUAUUCACAUAUUUUUCUAUUUCUAAUCAUCUCAAAAUAUAUAAUAUGAACUUUUAAAAAAAAAAUCAAAUUGUAAUAAAGUGACAUAAAUAUUAAAAAAUGAAAAGAAAAAGUCAAAAAUGUAAUGCGGAAAAAAGACAAAACCUUUUUGUUUGUUCUAUUCAUGGCAUCAUCUAAAUAUGAGAAAUGAUGGGUUGAUUGUCAUUGUGAACAACCAUAUAAUUGCAAGACGUGAAUACCAUCAACGUUAUAAUAAUUCAUGGACCCAUGCAUCCUCUGUUUUUCUAAUUAUUCCGUGUAGAAGGCUAAAGUUUAACGUGUGAUUCUCAAAUUCAUUGUCAAGUGAUUUGAACGUUUUAACGGACAGCGCUUACUUUUCUUUUUGAAGGAGCACAAUAACAACUUGAAGAUUCCUGGAAGUUGCCUGCAGUUCAAAUAUUUUCUUCAGACGAAAACCGUCAAUAAUUUCCAAACUUAGAAGAUAUUUAUUUAUUUUUUCCCAUAACCCACCAAAAACUUUUUCAUUUAGUGUAACUUUGUAAUUUUCUUAGAUGAUACUUAAAACUGCUAAUACCUUCUAAUUAUUGUUUUAAAAAUCUAAAUAAUUGCAUGCCCAAUUAACGGAUCAGUAGUGUCAGUUCGACAUAUUUAUUUUUUUAAAAAAAAGAAAUACACAGUUGUUUGAUGACUCUGGAAUUGAACAUCAGGAAAUAAAGAGAAAAAAUAACACACUUUAUGACGAUCAUUGCAGAUGACAUAACAGAUGUAAGUAUUUAUUGCCAAUUAAUUGGCAUUCUUAUUAUCAAGUAAUUGUUUUAGACUCGAAUUCAAAAGCUCUGCUCUGCUCUGCCCUUCGGUAAUCCGCCUGUUCAAAAAAUAAUAUUGUUUUAAAAAUCUCAGUAACAACAUGCCCAAUCGAUCACACAACGACUUUGUUGAAAUUGAAACAUUAUUGGGAAAUUAAUGAAGAGUAGAGAGCAAUUAGAGAGCUUAAUUAAGCUAAACAAUUUGAUUAUUAACUGUCUAGUCUCUCUUGCACCAUUCCAGUUAUCCUCUGAUCGAUCACACAAUCUAAUGCAUAAUCUAUUCUUUAGCGUGCGGCUUUAAACACAGCUGUUAUAAACUUGGUCAGCUUAACAAAUAUAACGUAACAUAUGAUAUUAUUAAAAUAUUCAAUUAUUCUCUUGGAAAGAAGUAAAUUCACUCAAUUUGAAAAAAGGUUGAUAAAGAUAAAAAUAUUUUAUAUUUUAUUACCUAAUAAUAUUAGAAUCUUAAGAUGCAAUUGGCAUUGUUUUUGUUUUGGUGUUCUUUGUUUUUUUAACGAAUCUUAAUAAAUAUUUUAUUAGAAUCUUAAUAAAUAUUUUAUAUUUAUAACAGUAGUAUUAAAAAUAGCCCAAUCUCGCAAACCAUCAAUUAAAUUUAAGAUAAGUAGUGUUUUAUUAUUCAUUGAGUUAUAAUCUCUAGUAGUUAAGAUUUUUUUGUACGUCAUUAACAUACCAAUAAUGAUAUUCAUCAUUAAAUCUUAUUAUUUUUUUGCAUUUUUUAGGGUGAAAUUGUAAUUUUCAUUUUGGGGGUAAAAAUGUCAUUUUAUUAAGUUUCCGUUAGUUUUCUUAACGGAUUCCAAACGGAAGUGGAAAAGUGAAACAAAAUGUAACUUUAGGUGGAUUCCAGCUAAAAAAAGAAAGAAUUGUGUAUUUUUGAAAAAGUUGGAAAAAAUGGGUGGACGGUGGAUAUUUUCCCUUCAAUUAAUUAUAGAUGCAUGAGACUAAGGGUCUAUUUUAUAGUAAGAUGUGGCUUUUUAAUUAUAACUGUUGUAUAAUAACAACUGUAACUACUAAAAAAAAAAUGAAUUAUGGGAAUCGGGUAAACUUUCAUUUGUAAGUAUUAUGAGUAAUUAAUAAUUUGUAGUUUCGAAAGUAGAAGUACACAUUUUUUGACAUGCCUUGAAAAUCUGUAUGUAACCUUAUAUCUAAAUAACUGAUCAAGUAUAUAUCAAGUAAUUCAAAAAUGGGCUGGGACUGAUGGUAAUUGUAGACGUUUUGAGGAUGAGUGAUACUAUGGGCACUACUCUAGAAACUUUAAAACUCCUUUUCUUUAUUUAUUCAAUCGAGCUCCAACCACUUCCUUCGGCGAUCGAGCUCCAGCCACAGCCAUUCGCAAAUUGCAAUCCACAAUCCGCGCCUGAAAUUGCCAUUCACAAUCCACAACUCACAGCCAUGACUUCACAUAGAGAACAACUCCCACAGCCAUCACGCGACAGCGAGAUCGAGCUCUUUUAACAUUCGAAGAGCAGAUCUGGUUGCGAAAGUUGAUUUUUAAUUUGCUUGCGAGCUGAGAUAUUUCGAAUUUUCUCUUUUAUUUAUUUUUUAUUUUUGUAAGUUACUAAGCCAAAAGCUUUGCAUAAGCUUCUGCUUCGGUUUUGCUAGUAUGAGAAGUAAAUUAAGGGACUUUUACUUGUUUAUUUAUAUUUUUGGUAGUUGCUGCAAGUGAUUUUUCUUUUUGAAUUGUUUUCUUUUGACACUUGUGUUGAACAACGAAGUGUAAUUUCGUUAAGAAGAGGAUGACAAAAUUUGAAGAUUGUGAAGCUGCAAAUGUUUUUUUUCCCUUUUCAUAAAUUGCUCAUGGUGCAGUCUCCUUUUGCUUGUUGAAGAAACAGUUAAGGGGGUAUGUAGUUGGGAAGAAAGAGGAAAUGAAAAUGAAAAGAGAAAGCAGAAGUUAAGUCCUCAGGUGGCAUUUUUUCAAUUAAAAAAAUUAAUGACAUCGUUUUCUAAAGCUUCGGGGUUUGACCCGGGGUAAAUAGCCGAACUCUUUUCUUUUUGAUGGAGCACAAUAACAACUUAAAGAUUCCUGGAAGUUGCCUGCAGUUCAAAUAUUUUUCAUUUGAACAAAAACCGUCAAUAAUUUUCAAACUUAGAAGAUAUUUAUUUAUUUUUCCCAUAACCCACCAAAAACUUUUUCAUUUAGUGUAACUUUGUAUUUUCUUAGAUGAUACUUAAAACUGCUAAUAUCUUCUAAUUAUUGUUUUAAAAAUCCCAAUAAUUGCAUGCCCAAUUAACGGAUCAGUAGUCUCAGUUCGAUAUAUUUAUUAAAAAAAAUAAGAAAUACAGAGUUGUUUGAUGACUCUGGAAAUAAAGAGAAAAAAUAACACACUUUAUGACUAUCAUUGCGAAUGACAUAACAGAUGCCAGUAUUUAUUACCAAUUAAUUGACAUUCUUAUCAAGUAAUUGUUUUAGACUUUAAUUCAAAAGCUAAGCUCUGCUCUGCUCUGCCCUUCGGUAAUUCCCCUGUUCAAAAAAUAAUAUUGUUUUAAAAAUCUCAAUAACAACAUGCCCAACAUAUUUUUUUUUAAAAAAAGGAUCGAGCAACACCGUAGCUUUUGUCAUAACGACUUUGUUGUAACUGAAACAAUAUUGGGAAAUUAAUGAAGAGUAGAGAGCAAUGAGAAAGCUUAAUUAAGCCAAACAAUUUUGAUUAUUAACUCUCUAGUCUCUCUUGCACCAUUCCAGUAAUCCUCUGAUCGAUAACACAAUCUAAUGCAUAAUCUAUUCAUUUAAUUAAUCAAUUUGAAUAUAUAUAUAUAUAUAUAUAUAUUUGUUAGAGUGACGCUAUUGGCACCCCUCUAUAUCAAUUAAAGAAAUAUAUUUUAAAGGGAGCUGGUAAGUAAUUUACAACCCUUCAAACUUACGUGAACAGUAAUAGUAAUUAUAAUAAGUGGUGGGAUCUAGAUCUACUGCAUGAAUUUUAAAGGAACUAUAAAUUAUUUAACAAAAUCUUAUUUUAAAACGAUUGUGCGGGACACAGCACAUGCCAACCCGGGCUUUAUCUCUUUUCACUAAUCAUAUAUGUAGUGGCAGACAUCGGUGGCCAAUUAAGGGAUGAACACAACCACUCCACCAAGUAAAUCUUGACGCGUGUGCUUUUAUUUCCAAUUAUUCUACUGUCUUUUUCUAAUUACUUUUAUCGCAGAAGUAAUUAAUUCUGAAGGAAAUGAAGGAGCUAAUAAUGUCGUGAAAGUGCUGCCACAUUCUUCCAAUUCUUAUGCUGCAAGCAAAGCUCCAAUUUACAAAUAUUUCAUUUCAAAAGAAGUUAUUGUUAUUAUUAUCUUUCUUUAUUCUUUUUAAUUUUUUUGACCAGUGUGGACUGGAAAAUAUUGUCAGGUCCUACAUCCGCGAUUCACGCAGUAUAUGACCUGAUAAAUAAUACACGGGUCUUAUUAUGUUACAGUUUUAUGUGUGUAAUAGCCCAUGACCUGAUAAAUAAUUUAUUAAGAGAAGUAAAAAUUUAAUGAUUGCAUAAAUAAUUCGGUAACAGAAUUCUUUUCACCCGUUAUUAAUCGCUUGCAGAUGACUUACUGAAAUUGUAAAUAUGUUGAACAGUGUUUGACUGUGAAGUGUGAAAAAUUAAAUAAUCUUUACUAUUAGUUUUGCAAUAAUAAUAAACAACAAAUCAUUGUUAAUUAUUUCUUAUUUAUUAUGUAUAAAUUGAUCUAUCCAGAGCUGGAUAUUUACAUAUUCUUCUAUUUUUGAUCAUUUUGAAAUUUAAUAGAAUUUUUUUUUAAAAAAAAUCAAUUUGUAAUAAAGUGUCAUAGAUAUUAAAAAAUGAAUGUUAAGGUCAUUAUUUAUAGAGUUGGCAUUUUAUGACAAGUCUAGUUAAAUUGGAAGUUUAUUUAUUGCAUAUCUUGUAAUAGAGAUUAAUUUAUUAAUUCCCUAAUUUAGUCAGAUUCUAAUUUAUUAGGAAUAUUUGUUUCCUAAUUUAAUUAGAUGUCUAUUUUAGCAAGUCAAUUAAUGGUGGGAUUCUAUAAUUGGCGCAUGAGAUUUAUUUAGAGCAAAAAGUUGGUUCAAAUAGGAAGUCUUAAGUUUGGUAAAUCCAUAGGUUGUAACAUCUCAACUUAGUGAAUUGUUUUUCAUCUGAGUGUGGCCUCGUGGAUGUAGGAUUGAUUAAUCUGAACCACGUAAAAAUCUCCGUAUCAUUUAUUUUCUACAUUUUAUUGUGUUUUUUGAAAAAUUAAUAUUUUUUAUGCGGAUGAACACUAACCGUAAACAGUAAAUGUGAACAGCAACCGUGAAUAAUUGCUGUGAACAGUAUCCAUAAACAAUACUUUUGAAAAAAUUAAUCUAUUUUUGAUACAUCUAAAUUCCUUUCAAUGAAAAUAGAAAGUCAAAAUUGUAAUGCUCAAAAAAGACAUUAAUUGUUGUAACUUAAAAGAUAUAUUCAUAUAAUUUUUCAGUUGUAUAAUAAAUUUUUUUUAUAUUUUUAAUAAUUUUAUUAAAAUUAUUAUUUAAAAUUUAUAUUCAUUAUAUUAUUAAGUUUUAUUUUAUAAUUACAGGUUAUGGGAUGUAAAGGAGUUUGGGAGCUGUAGCCUUUAGUUGGCUUAGGGAGAUGUUAAAGUUUUGAGAAAUGCUUAGAAAUUUAUUUUAUAUAACACGUUCUCAAUUUUAUUACUAUAAACUUACGCUGUAUUGUCUAGUCUUAGUAAGUAACGACUCAAUUGGAUGUGGGAGGAUCCCUUCCGCUUUGACCAAAAAAACUGUUUCGAGGACAGUUUUCUAACUCAACUCAAUUGCGGAACAAACAAAGAAACGCUAAGAACAUUAAUUAAAGUUAACAUACAGAGCAAACAAGUCAAGAGCACACACAAGAGGAGACAGACACUUGGCCAAGAAAAUAAUUGACCAGGGAAUUUACAAGGAAACUCUCUUUUCCAGAAGUUACAAGAGCCCUGACACUAUUCCUCUCGAGGUCUAGUUCAAGUCGCCCAAGCCUCUCAAGCUCCCUUAAGAACUCUGCUUUCUUGCUGUUCAAGAAAGCGCCUGAUUGGAAUCACAUGCUCCACGUGACAUCUGGCAUAACUAAAUCUGCUGCCGUACCCAGCCAAUUUAUGGUGCCACUUAUGAUACCCUGUCUCGUCAGCUUCCGUACCCUGCGUCAUCAUAGGACCUUACAUCUUGGAACCUCCAUGAAAGCUGAAUCUCUAACAGCCCAUCAUAAAGAUAUUAGUUCUAAAAUAGGGAAAUUACCAAAAAUACCUGCGCAUUUUGAAAUUUGUCAAAAAAUGAAGAGUAGAAAGCAAUGGGAAAACGUAAUUAAACAACCAAUUUGAUUCCUCGGAUCGCUUUCAUCUCAGGACUCUUUGUCUUCCCGUGCGUCUUCGAUUCCACAGGACAAUCUUGGAUUGAAUUUAUACAUCAGAAGAAAAUAUCAGUAUGCCCAAAAUAAAAAGUUGCUUCCAGUGCAGAAAUAAGAGAAAUUGACACACCUUUUUCCACCACAGAAGAUGGUGUCAUAUAGAAGUAUUCUGUCGCAGACUUAACAUACCUAUCAAGUAAUUAAUAAUUCCUACUUUAAAAAGUAGAGCAAUUGGAUAUCUAAUCCGAAAAUUCAAGAUAUAAUAACUCUUGAAAAUUAUAUAUUCAUAUACAUGUUAGUAGCGUGAUGCUACCAAUAUUCGCACCUUUAGCAUUCAAACACUUGAUCAUUGAAAGAAUUUAAGAAAAAUGUUGAUUGGUUACUGACAUUAACAUAACAUAAAAUUUGAUCCACAAUUUACUCAAUUUCUGAGUUGGCUUACCAAAAGUAUUGUAGCAGAAAUAACCAAAUCAACCCAGGUCCUUAUAUGGAGCCCCUGCGCGUCAAUUAAAGUAAAAGCUCGAUCCUCUGUUAUCCGAAAUGGUCAAACAAAUAUUAAACCAAAAUGUUGAAGUCUCUUUCUUUUGCAAUUCUAGCUCUAACUGAUGAGAUUGAUGGAAAAGAAUAACCAACAUUAAGAUUAAUUUUUAUUUCAAUUACUAGGAAAUAGAGAAUUAAAUGGAAUUCUCUCAGUAAAGCUCACCAAUAUCUGUCUCCGUCAUCACAUAGAUAUAUCAGACUAGCUAUCUAAUCCUUUUAUUUUAUUUUUUUCCUUUUUCAUUCAACAGCUUCAGCAUAUAACAAGAAAGCUUGGGCUCCUACAAUGCUUAGGCCUCUUCACGAUUAAGUACUCGUACGGUAGCGCAAGUAGCAGGCCUGGCACCUCUCUGGAUCUGCCAGAGAAUAAAUCUUUACACAUGCCCCCUGAAAAUCUGUUACAUAAAUUAUGUCCUAAUAAUCAGCAAUAAUUCAAAGAUGCGGAUAAAAAAGCACUAUAAUGUACAAACAUACACCUCGUUCAUAUUUUUUGUAUCACAUGAGGCAUAAACUCCUCAAGAGUCAAGUCCGACAUUUAAUUCAACCCAUAAACUUGUGCUUGUAGCCCGCAUAAAUGGUUAAACAAAUAUUAUAUUUUCGACUUGAAGAUUGGAUUACAAAUAUAUAAUAGGAAAGUAAAAUGGAGGAGGAGAAAGAAAUUACCUGUAGUAGUUGAGAAAUUACUGCCAAAAAUAGAAUUACCCGUAGGAAUUUUAUUUGGUUAGUAAUUGAGAAAGAAAUUACCUUAGGUGAUGGCUGAAAGGAAUUUAGAUCUAUCAUAAAUAGAUGUAAGCAAUUAAAAACUAAAAAUUAAUUACUUAAUUAAUUUUUUUGGAAAUACUGUUCACUGUUACUGUUUACGGUUCUGUUCACCACAACUGUUUACCGUUACUGUUCAUCCGCAUAAAAAAUAUUAAUUUUCCAAAAACACAAUAAAAUGCAGAAAAUAAAUGACACAGAGAUAUUUACGUGGUUCAGAUUAAUCAAUCCUACAUCCACGAGGCCACGCCAAGAUGAAAAGUAAUUCACUAAGUUGAGAUGUUACAACCUAUGGAUUUACCAAACUUAAGACUCUCACUUAUAGUUUAUCACCAUACAGUUUACUCAACCUUGGACUGAAUCUGCUUCUCUUAAAUAAUUGCUACCCCUCUUGAUCCACGAUUCUCAAGGCACUUCGCAAAGUGAUCAAUAGCAAUUCUUCAAUUCUUCAACGUCUAGUGAUCCAAGAUCCACAUAGAGUCUCAACAGAGAUGAAAAGAAGAUAAUAAAACAAAUCAACACAACAUGGUGCGCCAAAUUCGGAUUCUCUGGGGAGGAGGCCGAAUUAUUGCUUCUCUGCUUUAUGCUUUGCAUUGUGCCUGUCUUCAAUUGUGAAAUACCUCUAUUUAUAUAGGCACUAGGGUUUCACCAAAAUAGAAAGUUUGAAAAGACUUAGAUACUUUCCAAAUAAGAGUUUCUUUCCUCUUAUAAUUCCUAUGAAUCUGAAUAGGAAUAAAUAUGAUCUUCUUGCAUUACUUGUCUCCUAAGAAAUAUCUAGAGCAUUUAAUGACUUCUUGUUUGAACUAACUUCUUGCUCUAAAUAAAUCUCAUGCGCCAAUAAUAAAACACCACCAUUAAUUGACUUGCUAAAAUACACAUUUAAUUAAAUUAGGAAACAAAUAUUCCUAAUAAAUUGGAAUCUCACUAAAUUAGAGAAUUAAUAAAUUAAUCCCUAUUACAAGAUAUGCAAUAAAUAAACUUCCAAUUUAAGUAGACUUGUCAUAAAAUGUCAACUCUAUAAAUAAUGGAAUUAACAAUGGCUAUGGUACUUGCGGUACUCGUUUUAAAAAUCCUCAAGGUUCGAAUUUGACAUAUUGGUGAUUGAUUAGGAUGCUGGGAAUGUGGCAUAUCUUGGGGCAGUCCUCUCUUGUUUCCUUUCCAUGAUGUUCUUCUAAAACAGAACAUGAACUAAUAUCCGAAUCCUGUAGUGUUGUUUGUUGUGCGCGGAAUGCGGAAUCAAGCGCACCAAAAAAUCACAGAAAAAUAAAGGACACAAAAUUUAACUCAGAUACUAUCUAUGAAUAAUAUAACACAGUACCUCACUUCAUGCAAGCUUUGAUAUAUUAUUCCUUCUAUCUAUUUAUCCACUGCUAAUUGUUUUAUAAAAAAUUUGGUGCACUGUAGUGAACCCAAUAACUCCUAGCUAGAAGCAACAAUGUCCAAUUAAGCCGCUGAUACAAUCAAUCAAACAAUAAGGAAAGGAUCAACAACACAAAAAGCACACGCAAGGCACAAAGAUUUACAUGAUAUAUCCACAGGUGGUGAUGCUGGUAUCCACUGUACGUGUGAUGAAAACAAGUGUAUAUAUAUAAAGAACACUACCUGUCUCCUCACAAUAACCCCCUAGAACACAAGCGCAAAUAAAAAUGAGCCAAUUCCUGCUCUGCUGUGCCCUCAUGUACGUAACUCCUCUGCUAAGAAAUAUUGCCUUAAAAUAUCGGUAGCAUAUGCAUGCAUGACCAGCAAAUCAAUUAGACAUAUAAAAUUAUCAACCACACAGGAAAUCAGCAAAUCAGUGGUUUCAUGAAUUUGUAAUAUUUGAACAUCAGAAUAUGAAGAGUACAGGGCAAUGGGAAAAAGUAAUUAACCAUCCAAAUAAAUUUAAAUCCAAAUAAGAUAAGUAACGUAUGAANNNNNNNNNNNNNNNNNNNNNNNNNNNNNNNNNNNNNNNNNNNNNNNNNNNNNNNNNNNNNNNNNNNNNNNNNNNNNNNNNNNNNNNNNNNNNNNNNNNNGUAUUAUUAUGGUCACUGUCUUCAACCUGCUAACCAAAUCCAAAAAAUUGGUCUUCCCGACUGAGUAAGUGAGCCCUGAAAAGACAUUACCCAGCUUAAAAGCCAAAUGAAUGUAGACUUGUGAUUGGUGCAAUUGGUUUUAAAGAAAUUAGUAUGCAUCCCCACUGAAAGCCAGUAAAUAGAGUUGAAGAAGAUGCUAAUGUGCCACAGCUAACAUAAGCAUAAUUUGAUCAGCCGAAUGACUACCAAAUGAAAAAGCGACAUAAACUUAACAGAACUGUUAGGAUUAAUCGAAGACACAUAUAUUUGUGCCAAUUUUCACACCUUUAGCAUUCAAACCUUGCUCUAGAACAACUGCUGUGGUCCGAUGCUGCAGGCAAAAAAUUUGACCUACGAAGCAGCCUCACUCACCAACCCAGCCCCAAAUAAAUUUUUUGAAAUGCCUUGAAAACCUUAACAUUAUAUCCAAAUAAACAUAACUUGUGUUUGUGACGUAAUGAGAUUGCAGUGCAUUCGUAGAGUGUACACUUAUCUGCCAUUUCGUCGGAACAAAUUUUUUUACUUCUCUUAAAAUUUGCAUAAUAAAUUGCAAUAUGGACAAGUACCUACUUGGAUAUGAUUAUAUUUUUGUUCUAGUUUAUAACCUGUUUUCAAUUUUUUAGAUAUCUAUGAUUUUCAUUAAAUCACUACUCUAGUUGGCAUUUCGCACCACCCGCAAUUGAUUAGUUGCUCUCUAAUCCAACAAAAUUAAUAUGGAAAGAAAUGAAUGGCCAGCGAUAAAUAUUCCAACAUUAUGCAUUAAGCCAUUCCACUCCUACAAAACUGAAUCUCUUUGACAGAAUGCUUUUUCACGUGAUCAUGUAUGUGUCAAAGUUUUGUGACAGAUAUAUUAUUUUGCAGAUGUGGCAAACACAAUCGUUUCAAAAUCUUAGAGGCCUUGAAAUUUUGAUUAUUACAAAAUCUAAGAGGAUAGUUACAAAAUUCUGUCACAAAUAGUAAAAGUUAAGUGAUUCUUGACAUAAUACUAUCAAAAGGUUUAAAUAAAAUCUCACAUUUUAAUAUUUUACAAAAAUGUGUUUUAAAUUUUUUUUUUGACAUAAUUCUAUCCAUGAAUUUUCUUUUAAAAUUUUUAAUUCCACGUAGGCAUUGAAAAAUGACAGCUUUAAAAGAUUCCAAUGAUUUAACUGAUGUGAAUAUAUCUUCAAUAAGUCAACAACAAAAUUCUAUGAAACAAAAUUUACUAUUUUAAUUAUUUUAUAUUGCCACAUCAAUAAACUAAAACGAUGACAUUUCAUAUGCUCAAAAAAGAAAAACUUAUGUAGGCCGAGAUCGCCAUCUCAUCAUUAUUAAAGAGGCGUGUUCAACCAAUAAGAAUUUGCCAUCUAAAAAGUUCAAUCAGUCUUUUGAAAAGCCUGGCUCGAGUCUGAGCCUGAGUGUUUCAGGUCGGACUCAGCCUAAGCUUGGGCAUAAAACAGUAAAACACAAUAAAUGCUCAAAAAAUAAAAGAAUAAAUAUUUUAUUUUUAAUUAAAAUACACUUUUUAAUAUAUGUUUAACGUAUCCGGAACAUAUAUUUAAAGUUUUAAUUCUUUAACAGAACUUUUAAUACCUAAUCUAAUAAGAAAGUUUAUAAAUUAUAAAUUUAUAGAAUACAAUGAAAAAGGUUUAAAAAAAUUAAAGUAUAAAUAUGAGGUUUUACAAUUAAAAUAUCAAAUGGUGGCAAAAUGAGCAGCCAAAAAGUGCGCCAAAUCAAAAUUAUCCAAAAUUCCUCUCUUCGAUUCCCUUUUUAUUUUAUGUACCGCUGAUAUAAAAUUAACACAAAAACAUUCUGAAAUCGAAAGCUUGGAACGAAUCUCACGCCUCUCGCCUUCUCUUUCUCGCAUUUCUCAUUCCUCUUUGCCUCUCUCUCUCUCUCUCUCAAAGGAUUACGUUUAUGGAUUUGCCAUUGNNNNNNNNNNNNNNNNNNNNNNNNNNNNNNNNNNNNNNNNNNNNNNNNNNNNNNNNNNNNNNNNNNNNNNNNNNNNNNNNNNNNNNNNNNNNNNNNNNNNNNNNNNAGAGAGAAAUGUUCAAGUCAGGAAUUUUAAAGUGCAGGAAAGUACGGGAAACCUUUAAAACCGCAUGGUUUUAAAGGCUUAAAACUGUAAGCCUUUAAAGCCGUGUGAUUUUAAAGUUUUUCUGGACUUUCCCGUACUUUAAAUUCCCUGACCAGAAAACUACUAUAUAUAUAUAUAUAUAUAUAUUUGUAUAAUUUCAGCAAAGGUCCAGAUCGCUCAAGGCCUAAUUUCAUCUCAAGGUUUGUCAUUUUCCUCUUGAUUGCCUUUCGUCAUUGGUUUCUCAUGUGACAUUACUUUACUUUGUUCUUUGCUUAUUGUAAAUUUAUUCACGGUUUCUACAUUAUAAGUUACGGUCUUUGUUUACUUUUAUUAAAAAUUAUGGUAUAUGAAUAAUAAUAAUAAUAAUAAUAAUAUUGGCUUGUUUGCGUAAUUGUCUUCGAUAUUGACUGUAUUUACAAGAUUCUCUGUGACAUAUUUCUUAUUGUGAUUGUUUAAUUAGUCUCGAUUGCAAUUUUUACAAGAUUUGAUGAAUGUUAAAAUUUAAGUACCAAUUUAAAUUUGUACACCAAGUGUUUGUUAUAAUGCCAUGUGUUAUCUUCAAUAGAUUUUUUUUUUCUUUAACACGUAGUAUAAGCCUGAUAAUAUUUUUCAAUUUCUUUCCAAGAUGCAGUUUUUGAUAAAGAAUAAAACAAAUGAUUGAGACUGUUUCGAUGCUAAUUUUUCAAAUUAGCGCAUAUUAUGCUACUUCAUCUCAAGCAACCUAUGAUGAUAGCUAAUAUUGAUGCAAUAUUCUGUCAUGCCUGCGGAUUCAACUUGCUAAGAUUUUGGUUAUGCCUUCAGGUUCAAGCAUUGUUGCUGAUUAUGUGAGCUGUUGAGAUUUUAGUAUUGAGCAUGGCUGCUUUAGAUUCAAUUUGAGCAAAUGUAAUUGUUUCCUUUUAAAAAAAAAUUACAUUUUCAGAAACUGUUAUAAAGAUUGUCAGCAGUAUUAUUUCGUAUUAAUGUCAACUUCUCAUUUACAUAUCUUAACUAAAGCUUUAAUUUCUUUUAAUUUCUCCAUCCUUCAGGGGAGGAUUUGAUGAUUUGCUAUUGUGUGAGAAGAAAGCCAAGAAGCAGAUGUAGAGGGUUGUUAUUGUUUGGGAAUUAUUUUUCAGUGGGGACAAUUUCAUAAAAGUAAUUUAAUAAUGGAUCAAUUUUAUAAAUUUUCUUUUGUAGUCAGGGCGAACUAAUAUGUUACAAUUCAAAAUAUUAGCGAAACGAUUUUCUUCUCUCUCUCAAAUCAUGCUCACCACUCUCAAUCGAAAAAACAUAGUCCUCUGCUCUGACUUCUCAGUUCUCACCCUUAAUAACACAGUUCUUUUUUUGUACUCCAUCGAAAAUUCAUAAAAUAAUGAUAAUGAGACUAUUAUUGAAUAUUUUUAAAAUAUGAAAAAGCAUUGAGAACAAGUGUAAGAAUAUUUUUACUGAUAUCAAUGAGUAUUAAACUUUAAACAAUUAUUUUCACUAAUUCUUUUAUUAUAAUAUUGUCCCCAAUGAAUUAAUUUCCUGGAUCACCUCUAUUUGAAUUUUAUUUUUUUACUAUUUUUUUCUCAUUGUUAAAUUUUCACAUAUGUAUCUUUCAAGUACAAAAUCCCUUUUUUUCUCUUUUUUUUUUCUUAAUCUUGUUUAAUAAGAACUGAAGUUAAUCUUAAAUGUUAAUUGUUCGUUUUGACAAACAUAGUUCUAUGUGUAUGUGACUUUUAAUUUCUGUUAUUCCCUUUUUUCAGAUGUAACCUUGAACAUUAUUAUAACAUAGUGUGGUUUUUUCUUAUAUUAAAAGUUUGGAGGUGGUCAAAUGGGUAAAUUUUCCAAUAAUUUUCCAACGUGUCUAUGAAUCUUGUGUCGGCUCUUCAUAAUCUUUAUCAAAUUCUCAAUAAUUUUUAUCUUAUCUGAUAUAAUAUUAAAAGCUUGAACUCCUAUAGAACUCUCGAUGAAUUUCUUUCUAUUUCUUGGAGUUCACUUAUACGUGACAGAUGUAAAAUUUAAACCCUAAUAUCAAUGAAAAUACGUAUUAUCCCAAGUAAUUAAAUGGGACCGUUUUGCUAGGAAACAGACAAGAAACGACAGUGAAUACAUUUUACACCAAAUUUCUUAAAAAGAAAUUGAUAAAAUAGGAUGCCUGCGUUCCAAGAGUGCUUUCUUAAAAAUAGAUACACAAAAAUAUUUUAAAGUGUUUUUAUAAGGGGAAAAAAAACUUAUUAAUAUGAUGCAUGCAUUUCAAGAGUGUGCUUUCUUAUAAAUUGUUGUUAUGAAAAUAAUAAUAAUAAUAAUAAAUUAAGAUUUGAAUUUGAAUGACUAAUUAAUUAAUUAAACUAGUAGUAGGUAAACCCAUGUUAUUAAUUUUUUUUAAUUUUAUAUUAUAAGUUCUGAUUACAUUCCUCAAAUCUGUUGAAAGUUAUGCACUUAACACAUCUGAAGAAAAAUUGAGUUUGAUAUAUUGAUUGAUUGCACAAAUAUGGUCUAUAUAGAGUAGACGGACCCCGUUGGGAGACAUUUUGAUAUGAGGGUCUGAGGAUGGGUUUGUGUUUUCCAAUUGAGUUUGAUUAUAUUGAUUCACAAAUAUUCAUGUCUUGUUUUUGGUUGGUGCAUACUUUUAAUUAGGGAUGGCAAUGGAUUGGAUCUGAUCCAAGAUUCAUGUGAUCCAAAUCCAAUCGGAUCGGAUUUGAAUCGGUUUAAAAUGGAUUUGGAUCGGAUUUGGAUAUCCAUGUGCGGAUCUAAGACGGAUCUAGAGCAGAUCUAAAUCUAUCUUAAUAUCUAAAUCCAUAUCCAUAUCCACUCAUCUUUUAAUUUUAUUUUAUUUUAAAUGUUUCUUAACAAUUGUGAAAUUAUAAUGAUAAUAAAUUUUAUUCAUAACAUAUUAGUAGUAUUUACUAUCCAUUUAAACUCUCAAAACUUAAAUGUUAGUUUUGUAAAUUUAAAGGUCAGCCAGCCCCAAAGCAUGUACAUGCAAUAUUCAAAUUGCAAGUCAAGUAAUAUAACCUGGCAAUUUAUUUUAUUAUAUUGGCCAAAUAAUUUUUAAGAAAUAUAGUUAUUCAUAUAUUUAAUCAAAUAUGGUCAUAAUAAAAAUAAUAAAGGACUGAAUAUAAAUCAUAUUUAAUUUAUAUGUCAUUAUCUAAUGUUGUAGGAAUGAUGGUAGGUGUAUCGUGGAUAUUAGAAUGAUGAAGGAGACAAUAGAAUAUUAGAUUGGUCUUACUCCUGCAAUUACUUCGGAAUGAUAUUUUAUUAUCUUUCUUAUUUGUUGUUUUGGUGUAAAAGUAUAAGCUACAAUAUUUAUUAUAUUUUUGAGAAAAUUAUAUAAUUUAUUUGUUAUCAAUACAUUUUAGCCUUCAAUUUUCAAUCUAAAAAAUUAUUACUUUUUUAUUACUGAAUUUUAGAAUUCAUGACGGAUCUAGAGCAGAUUUGGAUUUUAAUUUUUUUUUUCGGAUUUGGAGCAGAUAUAGAUAUUUAUUUCUUUUUUGGAUCUGGAUAUGAAGCGAAAAAUAUGGAUUCAUGACGGAUCUGGAGCAGAUACGGAUCUUAAUUUUUAUUAUGGAUUUGGAUUUGGAGCAAAGUAGAUCCAAUCCAUAUCUAUACCAUUGCCAUCCCUACUUUUAAUGACUUUGUUUUGCGGUUCUUGUGUUGUAUGUACAUAUUGUUUCCUUUUCUGUCACUAUAUUCUUACAAGGACUUUUUUGAUAGAAUAAAAUUAUGUCAGUAACAUGGUCUGUGACAAAAAUUAUUCUGUAAAAAAAAAAAAACUCAAUUUUGUAGUGGUUCCAAAUAAUGGUUUAGUUUCUUUCCUCCUCGUUUUGUCAAUAAUUGAUUCUAUUCCUGGUUAAAACAAGUUCUUUACUUCUCUAAAAAUGUGCAUAAUUUCCCCACUUAUAGAAGUGUCAAGAUAUUUUUGACUUUCUUUUUUUUUAAGGACUAAUACUAAUUUAUUGUUUGGUUGUAAGUACUAGAAAUCAAACAGGAGAAAAUAAUUGAGUUUUUUUUGUUAACUUAAAAAUACGUAUUAUAAAUGUUACUUAUACAAAUGCAUAUUACUAUUCAAAAUAAUAAAAAUUUUGCAUUGGAAACAAUUUUGAAAAAAAAAUAAAAGUUUUUAAUGGAGAAAGGAAUUGUGGAGGGAAAGUUUGAUAGAAGAUGCACACUAGCUAGUUUUGGAAUUAUACCGUCAGGCGUCAAUCAUUUUAUAAAAAAAAAUGGAAAUAAUUUGAUCAGCCACCAGAGUUUUACUUCAGUGAUUUUCUCAAUACGACGUACGGUCCUCAAAACCUUAUCAUGAUGCUUGUAUAUUCUAAGCUUCAUGACAUCAUAUUAAAAACGUAUUGCUAAGGUAAUUUGAAAUUCGUUUUAUCCAAUGAAUGUUACAUUUACUGGUAUGUUUAAUAUUUUGUUUUGGUUAAAAAUUUUGCUAUCUAACAGCUAAUAACUGAAUUUGACUCAUUUUUAUGUAAAUUUUAUAGACCCACCGAUUCACCAUUUUUUUUAAUGUUAUGAUCAUUGUAGGCAUGUUAUAUUUUAAAUUAUGACUCCAUGCGAAAUCAAAAUUUAAAUUUCACCAUCUUUUAUAGGAUUAGAUUAUGAUAAUCAAAUAACACAAUAAACAAACACAAGGUAAAAAAAUUUACAUGGUUCGACAUAUUAAUUAAUAUGCCUACAUCCACGGAUGAUGAUAUUAAUUAAUGAAAAAGUGUAUAAAUAACAAUAAGCUCUCAUGUGCGCCAAAAAGAAAAAAAAAAGAAACACCAAAAUCAACACUCAAAAUCAAUCAAUCCCCAGCAGUUUGGCCUCACAAGAGCUCUCUCUGUGUUGUGCUUUCCCUCAUUCAUUCUCUUUACAAAUACAAGGCUCGCAAAAAAACAAACCGAAUUACUAAAAACAUACAUAACAGAUUAAAAAAGCACGCGCCGCGCCCGUCCCCCAAUUCCUGAUUUGCGACGCUGAAAAAUAUCGCUUUCCCCAAAAAAAAAAACAAAUGAAUCAGUUACACAAAUAUAUCUAAUUUUAAAUUAAUGAAGAAGAGUAGAGAGAGAGCAAACGAGAAGGAAAGCGUAUACAAAUUAUAAUUACUAACCAGAGUUAUUAGCACCAUUACAUAUAUAUAUCCCUGCUGAAUUCCCCCUCCUCUGUUCACCAUUCGUUUCUAAAAUGGAUUAAAAAAUAACUACUAAUUAAUUUUAAUUAAAAUAGAGUGAGACACGCAAUGCAUGCAGGAGAUCUAGAAAUAAAUUACCCGUCGCGGUGGCCGUGGGUGAUUGUAAUUGACUAAUUGCAGCCGCGCGCUUUCAGGCAAUGGAGAUUUUGGGAAUGUGGCGUAUCUUAGGCCAGUCGUCUCCUGUCUCCUCUCUGUAACGUUCUUGUAAAAUAGGACAUUCCCCAAAAAUCUCCAAAUUCUGGAGCGUUGACUUCUGAAGAAGGUGAUCGGGCAGUGCUUUUAAUUUAGGGCAUCUCAAAAUAGUCAACCUAGAAAGACGCGGCAUGAUUAUGAUUUCUCCCUUCAUUGCAGUCCCGAAAUCCCACUCUUCCAAUUCUUUUAUAAAACGAAAUUCCAGCUCUUUCAAUUUGGGAAAGGCAAUAACUGAGGAGCCAUCCGUAUCACUUUCUACCCCCAGAAAUUCGUUACCCACUCUUUUCACACCCAACAUUCCGCCAAUAAGAAGACCUUCAAGGGAUGGCAAUUUUCCCAAAGGAGGCAAAUGCUCGCAAUUUCUCCACCAGAAGAGAGAUAAAUCCUUUAAGUUGGUUAACGACAUGAACCAAUUUAUGGGGACAACAUUCCUCCUCCCUCUGUAUCCAUUUAUCCGUAAUUUCUUUAAAUUAGGAGGUGGUCCCAAGGCUUCAAGAAGCCGUUCAUCUUCAUCCUCCUCAUUCUCCCUCCUCCCAGCUAGUUCUUCAUCUCCAUCUCUUAAAUGAUCAAAAUAAAGUUCCAACUCAACGAGAUAUUUCUUUUUCUCAAGUUCAGCCCUUCUAGCCUCCCCCGCAUCUGACACACCACCCAGCCCACGUAUACUACAUUGUCGAAGGAGGUUAAGCUUUUUAAGAGACCCAAGGCUACAUGCUCUAUCAUACCCUCCCCCCACAACAAACUUUGUCACAUCCCGAAGACUGAUUAAUUCCCCAAUCCCUACCGGCAAGUAUCUUAAACAAUCAGUGUCUUCAUUGUGUAAAUACAUCAGCUUUCUUAACUUCCCAAUCCCUCGAGGUAAUUCUCUAAGAUUUUCACAUUCAUCAACAUUUAAACGUUCUAAAUUAUAUAACUCACACAACGUCUCGGGUAAUUUUUCUAUCUUCUUUUGACCUUUCAAAUUAAGGUAUUUCAAAUGUAACAAUUUUUCUAUAUUUGUUGGAAUUUCCUUGAUGUCAUUCACACUUGACUGCCUAUCACCCGCCUUUAAUUUUAAUGCCCUUAAACAAGUUAAUUUAUCAAAUAAUUGAGGCAGGACUUCACUAGACCAUGAAUAUUCAUCACUUUUAACUAAGAGGCUACGCAAUCCUCGCAAUCCUUUAACAUUACCCCAAAUGGAGAUCGGAACCGAAGCCCCCCUACGUAGAGUUAACAGUAAAUGAAGGAUUUUUUUCUCCCCAAAAGAGCUAAUAGCUAACUCUUCACCACUAUGAAUUUCUACUGUUAAACAUUUAUUACUACAUAAAUAUUGGGCAAAGUCGUGCACGAUAUCGUGCAUUUUGCAAUUAGAGAUUUCACCAUCAUCACCUUUGUCAAAAUCCUGAAAGAAUGAACGGUUAGCUAAGAUGUUGAAAUACUCAUCACCAAUAUCCUCCAUCUCGUUGCCUCCUUUCUCACUAAGAUAACCUUGUGCCAUCCAUAGUUCAAUUAACUUAUGCUUCCGUAUUUCAUAGUCUUUCGGAAAGACGGCACAAUAUGAGAAACAACACUUUACCUUGGAGGGUAAUUCUUUGUAACUCAACAAUAGAGGGGCUAAAAGGCCUUUCUCAAUUGCUUCUAGUUCCCAUAUCUCACUCUCUAAGAUAUUUUGCCAUUCUUUUUCAGUGUUUUUAGACCGCAAGAGACUAGCAAUUGUCUUUGCAGCUAAAGGUAAGCCCUUGCACUUUUUUACAAUUUCUCUACCAAUUUUUUCUAAAUUUUCACAUUUUCCUAUGGUCUUACCAGAAAUUGCCAACGACUGAAACACCGACCAGCAUUCCAUUUCAGACAAUACAUUGACAGAGAUAACAUGAGUUGAUCCCAUAAUACGGGCAACUGUUUCUUUACGUGUGGUAAUUAAAAUUUUACUUCCAUGGAGACCAUUCUUUAAACAUUUGUAGAAUGGUUCCCAGUUAUAGUAAUCUUCAUUCCACACGUCGUCUAAGACAAGAAGAAAUUUCUUCCCGGCAACACAUUCUUGAAUAUGUUGCAUGAGAGAUUGAAACUCUACAAGGUCUUUGGCAGAACCUGGCUUUAGAGACUCAAUGAUUGCUCUGGCGAUCCUGAACUCAUCAAAUGGCUCUGACACACAGACCCAUGUUCUUUUGUCAAAAUUUCUUUCAACAUCACCGUUGUUGUAGGCAAAUUGAGCAAGAGUUGUUUUGCCUAUGCCCCCCAUCCCAACAAGUGAGAUGAUAGAGGGGCCUUUCUGUUCUUUACUACUCUCACAUAACAACCUAUUAACGAGUUCGUUCUUCUCUUUUUCUCUACCAAAUAUCUCGGACUCAUCAAUUGAGGAGAUGCUUGGCACUCGUUGAUCCGCUCUCUCAUUAGUAACAUUCACAACAAAACCAAAUAUGUCUUUCUGUUUGGCAAUAUCAUCAAGAGUUUCGUUGAUUUCUUUUAUCUUCAGAGCAAUGUCACGACGUAAGACAAGUGGUUUGCAGGCAAAGCAAGAUGCAGUAGGAAAGAAGGAACAUACCUUCUUGUUAGGAACGAGAGCAUCAUUCUCGUGAUCAUCCACUCCGUCGAUUUGCAGUUUGAGCCUUGCAGUGUUCCACUCACCCAACACGUCUUCCAUGUCGUAACAUGCGUCUCUGAGUUGAUCGAGCCAGAGUCUGACAGUUUCCUCCUUCACUUGCCUUUUCUCAGCAUCAUGGAGCACAGCUCGAAUGGCUCGGAGAUUGCUGGUCAGCUUCUUCGCUUCCUUUCCGACACCCGUUACUAGCCUCACUUGUUCCUUCGCCUCUUCAACAGCCAUUGAAGUCAGCUGCUCCAAGAUAGGGGAAAGGAUCGCAUCAACCAUGGUGAAAAAGAAAAAAGAGAGAGAGAAGAAAUUGAUGGUGAAUUGUUGCAAAAGUAAGUAGCUAAUGCUGAAAGAAAUGAAGGAGCUGAUAAAGUGGUGAAAAUGUUGCCGUAUUCUUUCAAUUCUUAUAGUACUGCAAGCAAAAUUCUAAUUUAGAAAUAUUUCAUUUCAGCCCCUUGUGAAAGAAGCUACUGUUAUUAUUAUUACUUUUUUUUUUUUUAAUACCAGCAAAGAGUGAAAAUGACGUACAGUUAUGGACAGGAAAUAAUAUAUUGUUAGGUCCUACAUCGGCGAUUCACGCGAUAUAUGAAACUGACAAAGUUUUCCCUGAUCACUUUUUAAAUAAUUGAACAAGUUGUUGGAUAAUAUUUGUGAUCGUGUCGUCAUAUUGAGAUUUGGAAAUAUUUGCUUUAUAUGUGUAUUAUUAGCUUAGAAAUACCUUGACCAUCUCUUUCUUAUUUCCUUCUUCUUCUUUUUUUUUUUAAAUUUGACUCGUUUGCAUAAUUAGUUGAAAGGAAAGAAUGAACAUACUAAUAAACUAGGAAAACGCUGCCACAUAAUAUUUUAAGAUUCAUAUCAAACCACUUUAUUUUAGUUUUGUCAUUUUAGCAGAUGUCUGAUAGUGGGAGUUUAGAGUUUAAUCUCUAACUUUGCUUGUGAAGUGUGAAAAAUCAAAUAAUCUGUUCAACUUGUUUUUCAACAAAAAUAGAUAACAAUUCAUCAUCACUUAUUUCUCAUUAUGUAUAAAAUGAUCAAUCUAGAGCUGGAUAUUCGCAUAUUUUUCUAUUUCUAAUCAUUUCAAAAUAUAAUAUGAACUUUAAAAAAAAAUCAAAUUGUAAUAAAGUGACAUAAAUAUUAAAAAAUGAAAAUAAAAAGUCAAAAAUGUAAUGCGGAAAAAAGACAAAACCUUUUGUUUGCUCUAUUCAUGGCAUCUAAAUAUGAGAAAUGAUGGGUUGAUUGUCAUUGUGAACAACCAUAUAAUUGCAACACGUGAAUACCAUCAAAGUUAUAAUAAUUCAUGGACCCAUGCAUCUGUAUUUCUAAUUAUUCCGUGUAGAAGGCUAAAGUUUAAACAAUAAUAUUGUUUUAAAUAUCUCAAUAACAACAUGUCCAACAAAUCAGUUUGACAUGACAUAAUUUUAGUCAUAACGACUUUGUUAUAACUGAAACAUUAUUGGGAAAUUAAUGAAGAGUACUAAAUGAAACAACGAUGAGAAAGCUUAAUUAAGCCAAACAAUUUUGAUUAUUAACUCUCUAGUCUCUCUUGCACCAUUCCAGUAAUCCUCUGAUCGAUCACACAAUCUAAUGCAUAAUCUAUUCAUUUAAUUAAUCAAUUUGAAUAUAUAUAUAUAAGUGGUGGGAUCUAGAUCUACUGCAUGAAUUUUAAAGGAACUAUAAAUUAUUUAACAAAAUCUUAUUUUAAAACGAUUGUGCGGGACACAGCACAUGGCAACCCGGGCUUUAUCUCUUUUCACUAUUCAUAUACGUAGUGGCAGACAUCGGUGGCCAAUUAAGGGAUGAACACAACCAACCACUCCACCAAGUAAAUCUUGACGCGUGUGCUUUUAUGUCCAAUUAUUCUACUGUCUUUUUCUAAUGACUUUUAUCGCAGAAGUAAUUAAUUCUGAAAGAAAUGAAGGAGCUAAUAAUGUCGUGAAAGUGCUGCCACAUUCUUCCAAUUCUUAUGCUGCAAGCAAAGCUCCAAUUUACAAAUAUUUCAUUUCAAAAUAAGUUAUUGUUAUUAUUAUCUUUCUAAAUACUUACUGGUCAAAUCCAAUCAUAGUUAUUAAUUUAUUAAGCCCACGACCUGAUAAAUAAUUUAUUAAAAGAACACCAUGUGUAAAAAUUUAAUGAUUGUAUAAAUAAUUCGGUAACAGAAUUCUUUUCACCCGUUAUUAAUUGCUUGCAGAUGACUUACUGAAAUUACAAAUACGUUAAACAUUGUUUGACUGUGAAGUGAUGAAAAAUCAAAUAAUCUUUACUAUUAGUUUUGCAAUAAUAAUAAACAACAAAUCAUAGUUACUUAUUUCUUAUUUAUUAUGCAUAAAUUGAUCUAUCCAGAGAUGGAUAUUUACAUAUUCUUCUAUUUCUAAUCAUUUUGAAAUUUAAUAGAAUUUUUUUUAAAAAAAAUCAAUUUGUAAUAACGUGUCAUAGAUAUUAAAAAAUGAAAAGAGAAAGUCAAAAUUGUAAUGCUCAAAAAAGACAACUUUUUUUUUUCUUUUUCACGGCAUAUAAAUAUGUUGUUACAGGUAAUGGAAAUUUAGGCAGCGCUUAUGUUACAUUUGCUGCAAGUAACGGCCCGACAAAAUGGAUAGUUGGAUUUGUCAAUUUUUAGAUCCAACGGCUGUAAAGAAAUUUAACACAAAAUCAGUUACAGGUAUAGGUGGUAAAAUGAUUAUUAUAAUAAAGGAUGGGCAACCUGCCAAUACGGUUUUGGAAUUAUGUACUUAAGGGGUUAUUCGAUAAUGAAAUUAUAGAGGGAAAAGAAGAAUUAUGAGCGGAUGCUCUGGGUACGCAAAAAAUUCAAGAGGCAAAAAGUACAGUAAUUAAGUUUUCAAAGAGGGGAAAAUAAGAGUAGCACCAAACGAUGUUAUCAAUUUCCUUGUUCAAUUUUGCAGAUUCACAAAUUGAUUGCGAGAUUACUACUUAAAUAUUUAACUUGUCUUGUUUCACUGGAUGGUGAGGCUUCUGCCACUGAUGAGGCAAAGAAGAGAAACCAUGUCUUGAGAAAGCUUGAGAAGCGUAAAAAAGAUCGCACGCUUGACCCACAUAUUGAAGAGCAGUUUGCUAGUGGUCGUUUGUUAGCUUGCCUCUCAUCUCCGCCUAGCCACUGUGGACGUGCUGAUGGGUAUGUGACCCCUUUUAUUGCUUUUUAGUUUUCAAGAUUUGCUGUAAGGCCCUAAAAAUGGAAGUAUUCAACAUACACCAUCAUACCUGGACUUUCAUGUUGUUGAGGCUGGAUAUAUAUAUCCGUUCCUUUCCCUUGCCUCGUAAUGGGUAUUGGACAAUUGGUAGAAGUCCUUUUUUUUUUUAUGGCAUUAAACACCUUAAGAUUUGCUUUGGAGACCAUCAAAGUUGUUCCUUGUUUUUGUUUAUUUCCAUGGUAGUUAUUGGAUAGAUACAGGAGAACAAGACAGUAUAAUGGUAAUAUUUGCUUUCUUUUUUCUUGCAUUGAUGGGCUUUUUCAUUUCCGACAGAUACAUCUUGGAGAAAGAGCUGGAAUUCUACAUAAAGAAGAUACAGGGGUGCUGGUGCUGCUUAAAUUUUUGUUUAUUGAAACUCCAUACUGGAAUUUCUAGUCUUGCCUUGUGUUCUUAUUUUUAGUCUUAAUUAAGUUAAGAGAGUUGAGAUGAUAUCAGCAGUUGAACCUGGAUUUCUCACUUGUGUUAUUGUUACAUUUUGUUUUUGAAUGUUACCAGUGCCUGUCUUAGAAUUUCUUCCGUUCCUCUACGUUUUUCAUGAUUCUGUCUGCGUGAUCAAUGAAUUUGGUAGUUAAUGCCUUAAUGGUUAUUGCUUAAGGUUGAUAUAUUAAUUCCAUACCGAAAAUGAACCUGGUAUAUCUACGCAUGUGCAAUACAAUAACACAACCAUUUUAGGCACUAGUUAUGGGCAAGGCCAUCCCUAAAUAUACAAAUAACUGGGUUAAUGUAUUUUGUUUGGAAUUAGUUUCAUGUAAAAAUUAUUUUCUAACAUCUUUUCUAUAACAUUAUUUUUGUUGGCCUGAAGUUUGUGUGAGAGGAUUCUCUCUACAUGGAAUCUAGUUUCUCGACCUUUUCCCAUUUGUGCACCAUAUGUUGUGGUAAUAGAUGAGCAAAAAUCACGAUCCGUGAAUUUGCUAUCACAAGAACAAUCAAAGUAUGUAUCGAGGAACCAAUAAAGUGUUGGCUCCACUGGCAAUGGAGUCCUCCUUAAGUGGCUUGACUGAGUUUGCUCCUCAGUUUGAGUCGCAAGAAAAUCGCCUUUGUUAGGAGAACCUGUGCCUCCCGGUUCGAGCGGAGACUUCUAAUUUGAGCUGUGGUACGGACUUAAAGGUGCCUUCCACAGUUGGGGCCCUCCCCAGAAUACCUCGUGGUUAAGACAAAAAAAAAAGUAUGUAUUGAGGAAGCUCAUGGGGAUGAACGAAAAGCAAGCCGUUGCAGCUUAUUGAAAUAACAAGCAACAGUAAUUGGUUACUGAAACAAGAACAUGUAUUUCAUAAUUAAUACACCAUUUCUCUCUUAGGGAAAGCACGAUACCAUUUCUCUCUUAAGGAAGCGCAAUUGCAAUUGCGAUCAUAUUUCGGUAACAAAAACCAAACCAUGCAUGAUAAGCAUAUGAUAAAAAGUAGAGAAACAGGGGCAGCUGCUAUGUCUAAGAGUCAUUUCAUCAUACAUAUGGAAGGCGAUUUAACUGCAACCUGAGGUAUCCGGUACAGUCAAGAAAUCAAACAUGGGUAAUCAAGUUUUAUAUCACAUAUAUACACUACCCUCACAUAAAUUACAUUUCUUUACUCUAAUAAUAAUAAUAAAAAAAAAAUCGAAUAACGAAACAAAUUAUAAAAUUUUCGAAACACUCCCUCACAUCUGAAACCGUAGCUCCCCGUCAUUUCUCUAUGUAGUAAUAGUAGGCAGAACUCUGAAAUAAUUUGUUUUUUCCCCCAUUUUUUCAGCUUUUAUUCAAUAAUUUCCGUUAUAAAAUUGUUUGAAUAUUUCACAGAUUAAGUUUCAGAGGGGAGCUAUUGCUUCCUUCAAUAAACGGAUAAUGAGAUUAUGGAUUCUAAAGUGUUGAAAGCCAUAUAAUUUUUUUUUUAAUUUCAAAUUUUCUUUUUCUUUUCGAAAUUUUCAGUGAUAUGCUUAUCUAAUCUUCAACCGGCUAUUAUCAGGAAUGGAUAGGAUUGACUCUACCGUUGACACAUUUUGCAACUGGUUUCAACAUGUUUUUCAUACUGCCCCUUACUGACACGUGCUUCUCUUAUGUGAGUCAAUUGAUCACCUCACUUAUGUUACUUACACCAAAUGUAACAUAAGCUUACCCUGGAAUUUAUACCCCACAAAGGGAAUUUUCUUCCACAAAUGAUAUGAGAAUGUCGGGUGAAACAUGUGAAUGGGAAACUGCCUUACGAUUGCAGCAUGUGAACACUUGAAUUUCUUUUUGACAGAGCACAAUGAUAACUUACAGGUACUGCAAUAUUGCAUGAAGAUUCCUGGAAGUAGCCUGCAGCUCAAAUUAAUAAUUUUCUUUUGAACAAAACCAACCAACAAUAAUUUUCAAACCUGGAAGAUACUCAUUAAAAGAUGGAUCUUCAUCAUUUUUUUCCUCCCCACAACCCACCCACUAAAAACUUUAUUCAUUUAGUGUAACUUUUUAGUUUUGUUAGAAGAUACUUAGAACUGCCGAUAUCUUCCAAUUAUUGUUUUAAAAAUCUCAGUUGGCAUGCCCAAUUAACAAAUCAAUAGUCUUUGUUCGACAUAUUUAAAACAAAAAACAAAAAAAUCACACAUUGGUUUGAUGAGAGAUGAAAAGAAAAAGGAACACACUUACGAUCAUCAUUGCAGACGAUAUACACCAAGUAAAUCUUGAGACGUGCUUUUUCUAAUUAGCCAACUUUUUUUUUUAGGGAUAAAAAGAGACCGUCUCUUUUUCUUUUUCUUUUUUUCAUUAUUCAUAGUGGGAGACAAUGGUGGGGGCCUAGGGAUGAAAGUAAAAUUAAAAAUUAAACGUGAAUUAUGUGGUAAAAGUAUUUAAAUUAGAUAGUUGUAAGUUAAAAGUUAUAAUAUUAAAGUGUUUGGUUAACAUUAGUUGUUGUAACUUAAAAUAUAUAUUUAUAUAAUUUUUCAGCUGUAUAAUAAAAAAUUUAUUAUAUUUUUAAUAAUUUUAUUAAAAUUAUUAUUUAAAAUUUAUAUUCAUUAUAUUAUGAAGUUUUAUUUUAUAAUUACAUAUUAUGGGAUGUAAAGGAGUUUGGGAGCUGUAGCCUUUAGUUGGCUUAGGGAGAUGUUAAAGUUUUGAGAAAUGCUUAGAAAUUUAUUUUAUAAUUUGUUUUAAAGUUUAUUUUAUAAUUUAUUUAUAACGUAUAUAAUACGCUCUCAAUUUUAUUACUAUAAAGUUGAAUCUAUUUUAUUUACUUUAUAAUUUUUUUAUUCGGGUUCACUGACCGUGUACUCCAGCUAGAUUCUAAAAACAAAAAAUGAAAAUAUAGUCUAGAGAAAUAACAUCGAACAGACUCUUAACUUAUCAUCUUCACAUCAUCAUUUUGAAUUUCUUUAAUUAAUUCUUUUCAUUUUACUCUUCAAUAAUAAAUGUCACUUCAACUCGUGUGUGUACAUAAUAUAGGAUAGAAAAAUAAUGUCGAACAAACUCUAACAUAUCAUCUUCGAAUCAUCUUUUUGAAUUUCUUUAAUUAAUUCUUUUCAUUUUACUCUUCAUUAAUAAAUGUCACUUCAACUCGUGUGUGUAUAUAUUCAUACUAUAGAAAUUAAAAGUUUGAGUUUACUAUUGUAGAUGAAGUUAUGUUUUAAUUAUUAUUACUAUUACUAUUAAUUAAUUUAUAUUAUUAUUAUUUUUUGUUAAGUUAUUAUCAUUAACUAUUACCUCUGAUUUAUUAUUGUAUUAUUAACCACAACAAAUAAAUAAUAAUAAUAAUUUAUUUGAGGACAAAAGUAAAAUUAUGAAAUUUAUAAGGUGGUAAAAUAGAGAGUUCAAGGAAUAGAAACUUAAUUUCCUAUCCCCUCAUAGAAAUCAAGUUUAUGUUCUUUAAUUCCCAAAAACACGAGCCCUAUAUGUUUCAUUCCCAUUUCUAUCUAUAUUUAAGUAAGUAAACAUCAUCAAUCAUUUUCGUUUUGAAUUAUGAUUUUUCAAUCCAAAAAGUAGAUGCCAGUAAAAGAGAGAGUUAAACUUGACUCACCCGCUUUUCUAAUUGUUCUGAUUUGUUGUAUAAUUUAUUCUAAAGUUAUUUUAUAAUUUAUCUAAAACGUAUAUAACACGUUCUCAAUUUUAUUACUAUAAACUUACGCUGUAUUGUCUAGUCUUAGUAAGUAACGACUCAAUUGGAUGUGGGAGGAUCCCUUCCGCUUUGACCAAAAAAACUGUUUCGAGGACAGUAUUCUAACUCAACUCAAGUGCGGAACAAAGAAAGAAACGCUAAGAACGUUAAUGAAAGUUAACAUACAGAGCAAACUAGUCAAGAGCACACACAAGAGGAGAAAUAAUUAACACUAUUAUUUUACAUGGUUGAGUUUCUCUAAGCCCACGUCCACGAAGACAGACACUUGGCUACAUGCAUGCAUGCUUUAUUAAUUGACCAAGGAAUUUACAAGGAAACUCUCUUUUCCAGAAGUUACAAGAGCCCUGACACUAUUCCUCUCGAGGUCUAGUUCAAGUCGCCCAAGCCUCUCAAGCUCCCUUAAGAACUCUGCUUUCUUGCUGUUCAAGAAAGCGCCUGAUUGGAAUCACAUGCUCCACGUGACAUCUGGCAUAACAAAAUCUGCUGCCGUACCCGGCCAAUUUAUGAUGCCACUUAUGAUACCCUUUCACGUCAGCUUCCCUUGCCCUGCGUCAUCAUAGGACCUUACAUCUUGGAACCUACAUGAAACCUGAAUCUCUAACAGCCCAUCAUAAAAGAUAUUAGUUUUAAAAUAUGGAAAUUACCAAAAAUACCUGCGCAUUUUGAAAUUUGUCAAAAAAUGAAGAGUAGAAAGCAAUAGGAAAACGUAAUUAACCAACCAAUUUGAUUCCUCUGAUCGCUUUCAUCUCAGGACUCUUUGUCUUCCCGUGCGUCUUCGAUUCCACAGGACAAUCUUGGAUUGAAUUUAUACAUCAGAAGAAAAUAUCAGUAUGCCCAAAAUAAAAAAAGGUGUCAUAUAGAAGUAUUCUGUCGCAGACUUAACAUAUCUAUCAAGUAAGUAAUUAAUAAUUCCUAGUUUUAAAAGUAGAGCAAUUGGAUAUCAAGUCCGUAAAUUCAAGAUAUAAUAACUCUUGACAAUUAUAUAUUCAUAUGCAUGUUAGUAGCAUGAUGCUACCAAUAUUCGCACCUUUAGCAUUCAAACACUUGAUCAUUGAAAGAAUUUAAGAAAAAUGUUGUUUGGUUACUGAGAAAAUAUCUCAACAAAAUUUUCAGAGAACUUUCCGGAAUUCUUGCCUUUAUUUCACUUAAUGAAAAAUGUUACAAUUACAUUCAAUUUAUAUUCGAUGCUUUAGCAUUACUAUAACUAACUCAGAACAUACUACACAUGCUUAACUACAGCUCAAUAGAUACAGAGUAAGUCAUAACAAACUUUUAACUACUUAUGCUGAGGUGGCAACUGAGCUGUUAUUCCGCUUAAUCAUCUGACGUCACCAACUUGUUGGUUUUCCUCAGCUCGAGCGUCUUCUUCCUUUCUGUACAAUGAGCUUCUUUAACAACCACUGAAGCAGCCUUUCUCACCAACCUAGCUCCGACAUUAAUCUAUAGAGUUAUCAAGACCGACAUUCGAUGACGUAAUCACAUAAAGUUGCGCUUAUGCCUACAAAAUGGCUGAAUAACUAACCAAUUCGAUUCCUUAUUGCACCAUUCCUGAAUCCUGUCCUCUGAUACUGUAGGCCUCUUCCCGUCUUCCAUAUCGCAAGACACUUCACCUAGCCCAAAACAUACCGUUCUUGGCUUGAAAAUGGAAAGUCUCGUGCAGUGCAGAAAUCAGAGGAAUUAACCCACUUAUGACCAUCGUGUGUGUAUAUAGUAGACGAUGUAAUUAGAUAUCUAAUGAGUGUUUAAGAUAUUACAGAUUAAAAUGUUGCAUACUCUGGACAUUAACAUAACAUAAAAUUUGAUCCACAAUUUACUCAAUUUCUGAGUUAGCUUACCAAAAGUAUUGUAGCAGAAAUAACCAAAUCAACCCAGGUCCUUAUAUGGAGCCCCUGCGCGUCAAUUAAAGUAAAAGCUCGAUCCUCUGUUAUCCGAAAUGGUCAAACAAACAUUAAACCAAAAUGUUGAAGUCUCUUUCUUUUGCAAUUCUAGCUCUAACUGAUGAGAUUGAUCGAAAAGAAUAACCAACAUUAAGAUUAAUUUUUAUUUCCAUUUCUAGGAAAUGGAGAAUUAAAUGGAAUUCUCUCAGUAAAGCUCACCAAUAUCUGUCUCCGUCAUCACAUAGAUAUAUCAGACUAGCUAUCUAAUCCUUUUAUUUUAUUUUUUUCCUUUUUCAUUCAACAGCUUCAGCAUAUAACAAGAAAGCUUGGGCUCCUACAAUGUUUAGGCCUCAUCACGAUUAAGUACUCGUACGGUGGCGCAAGUAGCAGGCCUGGCGCCACUCUGGAUCUGCUAGAGAAAAAAAUUUUACACAUGCGCCCUGAAAAUCUGUUACAUAAAUUAUGUCCUAAUAAUCAGCAAUAAUUCAAAGAUGCGGAUAAAAAAAACACUAUAAUGUACAAACAUACACCUUGUUUAUAUUUUUUGUAUCACAUGAGACAUAAACUCCUCAAGAGUCAAGUCCGACAUUUAAUUCAACCCAUAAACUUGUGCUUGUAGCCCGCAUAAAUGGUUAAACAAAUAUUAUAUUUUCGACUUGAAGAUUGGAUUACAAAUAUAUAAUAGGAAAGUAAAAUGGAGGAGGAGAAAGAAAUUACCUGUAGUAGUUGAGAAAUUACUGCCAAAAAUAAACUUACCCGUAGGAAUUUUAUUUGGUUAGUAAUUGAGAAAGAAAUUACCUUAGGUGAUGACUGAAAGGAAUUUAGAUCUAUCAAAAAUAGAUGUAAGCAAUUAAAAACUAAAAAUUAAUUACUUAAUUAAUUUUUUCAGAAGUGCUGUUCAUUGUUACUGUUUACGGUUCUGUUCACCACAACUGUUUACAGUUACUUUACAAUUAUUGUUUAUCCACAUAAAAAAUAUUAAUUUUCCAAAAACACAAUAAAAUGCCGAAAAUAAAUUAUACAGAAAUUUUUACGUGGUUCGUAUUAAUCAAUCCUACAUCCACGUGGGCACGCCAAGAUGAAAAACAAUCACUAAGUUGAGAUGUUACAACUUAUGGAUUUACCAAACUUAAGACUCUCACUUACAGUUUAUCACCAUACAGUUUACUCAACCUUAGACUGAAUCUGCUUCUCUUAAAUAAUUGCUACCCCUCUUGAUCCACGAUCCUCAAGGCACUUUGCAAAGUGAUCAAUAGCAAUUCUUCAAUUCUUCAACGUCUAGUGAUCCAAGAUUGACAUAGAGUCUCAACAGAGAUAAAAAGAAGAUAAUAAAACAAAUCAACACAACAUGGUGCGCCAAAUUCGGAUUCUCUGGGGAGGAGGCCGAAUUUUGUUUCUCUACUUUAUACUUUGUGUUGUGCCUGUCUUCAAUUGUGAAAUACCUCUAUUUAUAUAGGCAAUAGGGUUUCACCAAAAUAGCAAGUUUGAAAAAACUUAGAUACUUUCCAAAUAAGAGUUUGUUUCCUCUUAUAAUUCCUAUGAAUCUGAAUAGGAAUAAAUAUGAUCUUCUUGCAUUACUUGUCUCCGAAGAAAUAUCUAGAGCAUUUAAUGACUUCUUGUUUGAACCAACUUCUUGCUCUAAAUAGAUCUCAUGCACUAAUAAUAGAAUCCCACCAUUAAUUGACUUGCUAAAAUAGACAUUUAAUUAAAUUAGGAAACAAAUAUUCCUAAUAAAUUGGAAUCUCACUAAAUUAGGAAAUUAAUAAAUUAAUCCCUAUUACAAGAUAUGCAAUAAAUAAACUUCCAAUUUAACUAGAACUUAACAAUGGUGACGGUACUCGUUUUAAAAAUCCUCAAGGUUCGAAUUUGACAUAUUGGUGAUUGAUUAGGAUGCUGGGAAUGUGGCAUAUCUUGGGGCAGUCCUCUCCUGUUUCCUUUAUGUGAUGCUCUUCUAAAACAGAACACGAACUAAUACCUGAAUCCUGCAGUGUUGUUUGUUGUGCGCAGAAUGCGAAAUCAAACGCACCAAAUAAUCAUAGAAAAAUAAAGGACACAAAAUUUAACUCAGAUACUAUCUAUGAAUAAUAUAACUCAGUACCUCACUUCAUGCAAGCUUUGAUAUAUUAUUCCUUCUAUCUAUUUAUCCACUGCUAAUUGUUUUAUAAAAAAUUUGGUGCACUGAAGUGAACCCAAUAACUCCUAGCUAGAAGCAACAAUGUCCAAUUAAGCCGCUGAUACAAUCAAUCAAACAAUAAGGAAAGGAUCAACAACACAAAAAGCACACGCAAGGCACAAAGAUUUACAUGAUAUAUCCACAGGUGGCGAUGCUGGUAUCCACUAUACGUGUGAUGAAAACAAGUGUAUAUAUAUAAAGAACACCACCUGUCUCCUCACAAUAAGCCCCUAGAAUACAAGCGCAAAUAAAAAUAAGCCCAUUCCUGCUCUGCUCUGCCCUCAUGUACGUAACUCCUCUGCUAAGAAAUAUUGCCUUAAAAUAUCCGUAGCAUAUGCAUGGAUGACCAGCAAAUCAGUUAAGACAUAUAAAAUUACCAUCCACACAGGAAAUCAGCAAAUCAGUGGUUUCAGGAAUUUGUAAUUGAACAUCAGAAUAUGAAGGGUACAGAGCAAUGGGAAAAAGUAAUUAACUAACCAAAGAAUUUAAAAUCCAAAUAAGAUAAUUAACGUAUGAAAGCUGGGUUGAAGCCCACCUUAGAGCCCCUGUCUAUGAAGGCCAAUAAAUCUCCUGUUAUCUGUUUGCUUAGAUCUUUAUGUAUUCCUAUACACUUUUUACUCUACUCUGUUGUUCAACCUUCCUUGGCUUUAUGUAUCUAUUUUAUGUGUAUUGAGAAGGCUAGUUACUAGGUGUCAACUCUUCUCUUUAAAAGAUAAAGUUUUGAGAAAAGGAAAGAAAGACACCCACUGCCAGCUACCUUGUCAUAUGUUGCAUACCAAAAUUGGAUAUUAAUUAUGGUCACUGUAUUCAACCUGCUAACCAAAUUCAAAAAAAUUAGUCUUCCCGAUUGAGUAAGUGAGCCCUGAAAAGACAUUACCCAGCUUAAAAGCCAAAUGAAUGUAGACUUGUGAUUGGUGUAAUUGGUUUUAAAGAAAUUAGUAUGCAUCCCCACUGAAAGCCAGUAAAUAGAGUUGAAGAAGAUGCUAAUGUGCCACAGCUAACAUAAGCAUAAUUUGAUCAGCCGAAUGACUACCAAAUGAAAAAGCAACAUAAACUUAACAGAACUGUUAGGAUUAAUCGAAGACACAUAUAUUUGUGCCAAUUUUCACACCUUUAGCAUUCAAACCUUGCUCUAGAACAACUGCUGUGGUCCGAUGCUGCAGGCAAAAAAUUUGACCUACGAAGCAGCCUCACUCACCAACCUAGCCCCAAAUAAAUUUUUUGAAAUGCCUUGAAAACCUUAACAUUAUAUCCAAAUAAACAUAACUUGUGUUUGUGACGUAAUGAGAUUGCAGUGCAUUCGUAGAGUGUACACUUAUCUGCCAUUUCGGAACAAUUUUUUUUUACUUCUCUUAAAAUUUGCAUAAGAAAUAGCAAUAUGGACAAGUACCUACUUAUGAAAGUGUUAAGAUAUUUUUACAUUUCUUCUUUUUCUUUCAAGGAGUAAAAGUAAUUAUUCAUUUUGUUGAUGCCCAUUUACUCUAUAAAUGCCAUCAUGACCACUGAGAUAUGUUCAUGAAUAAGCAUCUACCAUCAGAUCGAUUCGAAAACGGAAAGGAAUAGAGAAAUAAAAGGUGAAACAAAUGAAAUAAUUAAGGAGAGGAACGAGAUUCUGUUGUCUGGUUAUAACUGGAAAUCAAGCAUGAAAAAGGAAUUGAUUUUUCUUUUUUGGUUGACAGAAUACACUUUCAACUAUAAGAAAAAAAAGAAAAUUUGAAUUUGAUAUUUAACAGAAAAUUCAAAUAAAAUCAAAUUCAUUUGUAAUUUAAGUUCAUUUCAUUCUUAAAAUUUGACAUAUAGAAUAAAAUUUAUAACUGUUUCAAAUACAAAAACAUAUUAAUAUUCAAAAUAAUAAAAUUUUCAUGGCAAAAAGUUAAAAAUAAAAAAUAAAACGGUUUGAUGGAGAAUGGAAUUGAGCAGGGAAAGUUUGAUGGAAGAUGCACACACCAGUUGUGGAAUUAUACUGUUAGUCAUUUUAUUAAAAAAAUAAAAUAAAAAUAAAAAUCACCUCGUUGAAAGAUUAUUUGCUACGAUUAAAAAUUUUAUUUGGUGAGCAAAACGACGUACGGUCCUCAAAAACCUCAUGAUGAUGCAUGUAUAUUCUAAGCUUCAUGACAUCAUAAUAAAAAUGUUUUGCGAAGGUAACUGGAAAUUUGUUUUAUUCAAUGAAUGGUACAUUUACUGGUAUGUUUAAUAGUUUGUGGGUAAUUGUUUAUUUUCUUUUGGUUGAAAAUUUUGCCAUCUCACAAACUAACAACUAAAUUUGACUCCUUUUUAUAUAAAUUUUAUAGGCCCGCCGAUUCACCAAUUUUAUUUUAUAAUCCUUGUAUGUUUGUUAUCUUUAAAUUAUGACCCCAAGUACCAAAAUUCCAAUAUCACGGUCUUUUAUAAGGUUUGGUUAUGAUAAUUAAUUAAUACGAUAAAUACAAACAAGGCACAAAUUAAAAUUUAUAUGGUUCGGCAUAUUAAUUAAUAUGCCUACAUCCACGGAUGGUGAUACCGAAAAUCCACCACAUGAUGAAAAAGUGUACAAACAAUAAUGAAAAUAUUGCUUUCCCAACAAAUUAAUCAGUUAGACGAAUAUAUCCUAAUUAUAAUGGUUUUAUGACAUACAUACAUAUCAAAUUCAUGACUUGUAUUUUGCACUGUUGCAGAGCAAUGAGCAGGCUACAAUACGUUCACUUGUUGAACUCGACCCUCAGAGCGACGGAGAGGACCAUUUGCUGUAUCCUCGAAGACUACCAGAAGGAGGAUGGUGUGUGUGGAAGUACCAGAAGUUCUACAAUAUUGGAAAUGGUUCAGCCGUGAUCAUUGGGAAAAUUAAAAAACCGAAUAAGUAAUAUAAUAAUUAUAAAACCAGUCGGUUCGAUUUUUUAUUUUAAAAAAAUUAAAAAACUGAACCGAUUAUCAAAUAAACCGAAUAACAACCGGAAUCCCUAAAGUGAAUAAAGUCUAAACACUCUAAACUAAAUUGUGACCACUUCUUCUGAGUUCUGAUCAUCAACCUAAAUCGUGACCACUUCUGAGUUCUGAUCUUCAGCUGAAACUGAAAUCGUGACCUUCAGCCGCUGAAGUCUCGUCCCCGUUGCUCGUCGCCGCCACUGCUCGUCGCUGCUGCUUAUCGCUGCUGCUCGUCGCUGCUGCCCAUCGUUGUUGCUCGUCGCCGAGUCUCCGCCACUGUUACCACGUGCUGCAGCCGCUGUCAGCUGCUGCUGCUGCCACUGUCACCAACAACUCUCAGCAGAACAAGGUUUUAUGAAUUUAAAAAGCUAUAGCUAUAAUAUUUUGUUAUCAUUGGGGCCAUAUAAAUUCGUGAGAAUCCCAGAAAUUGCAUUGAAUUUUUACUGAAUCUGAUAAGCCCGGCAUAUCUUAAUCCCAGCUAUUUUGGCUAUAGCGUACCAUUCAUUCGUUAGCUCCAAGGGCCCAUCAACAGGCGUUUUCGGGAAUCGGCUGCGGGGCGAAUUUGGGGUAAAUGCAAGAGGAUAAAAAAAAGCUAUAGCCAAAAUAGCCAAGAGGAUCCCAAGGGCCCCGUCAAUAAGAAUUUGCAGACUUGCAUAAAUAAAUUAUGUAUGAUGCUAUAAAUGAUGCCCAUUAGCCAGACUUGCAUUCUCAGCAAUUCUUCUCCAUUUCUUAAUCCUUUUAUCCAUAUGCUUUGUUAAUGCACAAUACUGUUGAAUAAACUUUGUAUUCCUUUUAUCAGUUUGUUUGAGAUUAAAAUUGGAGGUAAUAAAAUGUUGUUUUGAUUUCAAUUGAGAUGUAUUUAGCUUGAAACAUUGACUUCAUGAAACUAAUUUUGACACUUGAUUUUCUGAUCGAAUUUAUGAUUAUAAUUGGUGAGGAUGAUUUGAAUUUAAUUGCAUGCCAUCAGCCAGGCCAGUGUUGGAAUGUCAUAAUAUUUUUUAUUUGUAAUCCCCAAGAUUUUUUAUUUGUUGCUUCUGUUGUAUUGAUUUGUUGUUGUAGAAUGGAAAACUAUGAUGAGGAGGAAGUGCAAGAGGUGGAGGUUGAUGAUGUGAAAAAAAGAAAAAUACUUUGAGACAUAUUGUGAUUUUUUGUUUGUUAACUUUUUAUGUUUGUGGUAGAUUUAUUAAUUUAAGGUUUUAAAUUUAAAAAAAUCCAAAAUAGGCCCAAUAGGCCUAUAAUCGAAAUAAUCGAACCGAACCGAAUCGAAUUAUUUCAAUUAAUCGAGUAUUUGAUUAUUUCGAUAAUUCGAUUAAUCGCGAUUAUAAUUUUAAAAUAAUUGUAAUCAAACGAUAAUGAAAAGUUUAGUAAAAACCCGAACCGAACCGCGCCCAUCCCUAGCCACCAGAGCUUUAGUUCAGUGAUUUUCUCAAUACGACGUACGGUCCUCAGAACCUUAUCAUGAUGCUUGUAUAGUCUAAGCUUCAUGACAUCAUAUUAAACAGUGUUGGCUUUAACCAAUUGGGGGCCUUAGCCGAAAUUUCAUUUUAGGCAUUCUAAUGUUAAAAUAUCAACUAUCACAAGAAUAUUAAAUAGCUAAAAAAACUCUCACAACAACAUCAAGUAGCUCAAAAUUCAACAAUAUCUUGAAUUACAACAAUUAUUAACAAGAUCUAAAAAAAACAAAAAAUAAUAGUUGGAAAGAUAUCUAUUUCUUUCCACAUGAAUAUUAACUAACUUUGUCUUCCACAAAAUCCAGCUCCUUAAGAUGCUCUAAAACUUCUUCAGCCAUAACCAUAAUCAUCUCGUGAACUUUAUAUCAUUGCUCCUACCUAAUAUGAUCCUAAUCCAUAUUUUCUAGUUGACAUGCUUUUCAAAUUAAAAAAAAAAUAAACAAACAAUUUUUUUUUCUAGAUUAUUCAAGCCAAAAUCAAUACAAAAAAUAAAAAAAUAAAUUAAAUUUAAAAAGGAUAAGAACAGUAAUAAAAAAAUGGAAAAAAAUAGAAUGAUAGCACCUAUAAUUGAGUCAAUUGACUAGUUGAGAUGAGGAUGAUGAUGGCAAUGAAUUUUGUAGAGAAAGAGAAGAGAGCACAAAAACUUUUUGUUGAAAGUAGCUUUGAUUCAAUGUGUAUCGGUUUAUAGAUAAUGAGUUUUUAAAUAUAUUUUAAUAGAAUACUAAAAGUUAGCUCUAAAAAUCCAACGUUACUAAUUUUAAUAAGAGCUCUUUUUGGAAAGGGAAAGCAUUCAUUUGUUUUUUGGGAAAAUAGUAAAAGAAAAUAAAGAAGUAAUGUUAAAAAUAAUUAUUAUACCAUACAAAUAUAUUUUAUAUUUAAGGUAAAGAUUAUUAAAUAGGAGAGACAAUUAUGAAUGAGAGUAAUGAUAGGGUAAAGACUAAAAAUUAGUUUUUUUUAAUUGUAUAAAAAAAAUAUACGUAACUUAAUUUUUUAAUCUUAAAAAAAUUAAUUAUAUUGAUUAAUAAAUAGAUACCAAAAAAUUAAGGUCUUCCUAAAUACGAGGCCCUAGGCAACUGCCUAGUUUGCCUAGUCCUAAAGCCGUCACUGAUAUUAAAAUCAUAUUGCUAAGGUAAUUAGAAAUUUGUUUUAUCCAAUGAAUGUUACAUUUACUGGCAUGUUUAAUAUUUUGCUUUGGUUAAAAAUUUUGCUAUCUAACAGCUAAUAACUGAAUUUGACUCAUUUUUAUGUAAAUUUUAUAGACCCACCAAUUCACCAUUUUUUAUGUUAUGAUCAUUGUAGGCAUGUUAUUUUUUAAAUUAUGAUUCCAUGUGAAAUCAAAAUUUAAAUUUCACCAUCUUUUAUAAGAUUUGAUUAUAAUAAUCAAAUAACACAAUAAACAAACACAAGGCAAAAAAAUUUACGCGAGUUGACAUAUUAAUUAAUAUGCCUACAUCCACGGGUGGUGAUACUAAUAAGCCACUAUAUAAUGAAAAAGUGUACAAAUAACAAUAAGCUCUCAGAUGAGCACAAAAAAAGAAAAAGAAAAAGAAAAAAGAAACACCAAUCUCAACACUCAAAAACAAUCAAUCCCCAGCAGUUUGGCCUCACAAGAGCUCUCUCUGCGUUGUGCUUUCCCUCGUUCAUUCUCUUUACAAAUACAAGGCUCGCAAAAAUACAAAACGAAUUACUGAAAACAUACAUAACAGAUUAAAAAAGCACGCGCCGCGCCCGUCCCCCAAUUCCUGCUCUGCGACGCCAUUUCGUAAUUCCUUUUUGGCUGAAAAAUUAAUAUCGCUUUCCCCAACAAAAAAACAAAUGAAUCAGUUAGACAAAUAUAUCUAAUUUUAAUGGACAUUGUUAAAUUAAUGAAGAAGAGUAGAGAGAGAGCAAACGAGAAGGAAAGCGUAUACAAAUUAUAAUUACUAACCAGAGUUAUUAGCACCAUUACAUAUAUAUAUCCCUGCUGAAUCCCCUCCUCUGUUCACCAUUAGUUUCUAAAAUGGAUUAAAAAAUAACUACUAAUUAAUUUUAAUUAAAAUAGAGUGAGACACGCAAUGCAUGCAGGAGAUCUAGAAAUAAAUUACCCGUGGCGGUGGCCGUGGGUGAUUGUAAUUGACUAAUUGCAGCCGCGCACUUCACUCAAUCUCGAUGUUGGGAAUGUGGCGUAUCUUAGGCCAGUCCUCUCCUGUCUCCUCUCUGUAACGUUCUUCUAAAAUAUAACACCGCCUAAUAUACAAUUCCUGGAGCGUUGUCUUCUGAAGAAGGUGAUCGGGCAGUGCUUUUAAUUUAGGGCAACUCGAAAUAGUCAAGGAAGAAAGACGUGGCAUGAUUAUGAUUUCUUCCUUUAUUGCAGUCCCGAGAUCCCACUCUUCCAGUUCUUCCAUAUAACGAAAUCUGAGCAGUUUCAAUUUGGGAAAGGCAAUAACUGAGCAGCCAUCCGUAUCACCUUCUACUCCCAGAAAUUCAUUACCCACUCUUUUCACAUUUUCCAUUCCUAAAAUAUGAAGAGAUUCAAGGGAUGGCAAUUUUCCCAAAGGAGGCAAAUGCUCACAAUUUCUCCACCCGAAGAGAAAUAAAACCGUUAAAUUGGUUAACGACAUGAACCAAUUUAUGGGGACAACAUUCCUCCUCCCUCUGUAUUCGUCUAUCCGUAAUUUCUUUAAAUUAGGAGAUGGUCCCAAGGCUUCAAGAAGCCGUUCAUCUUCAUCCUCCUCAUUCUCCCUCCUCCCAGCUCGUUCUUCAUCUCCAUCUCUUGAAUGACCAAAAUGAAGUCCCAAUUUUAAGAGAUUUUUCUUUUUCUCAAGUUCAGCCCUUCUAGCCUCCCCCGCAUCUGACACAUCACCCAGCCCACGUAUCCUGCAGUCUCGAAGGAGGUUAAGCUUUUUAAGAGACCCAAGGCUACAUGCUCUGUCAUACCCUCCACCCACAACAAAAUCUCUCACCCUCCGAAGCCUGAUUAAUUCCCCAAUCCCUGCCGGCAAGUAUCUUAAAGAAUCAGUCCCCUCAUUGUGUAAAUACAUCAGCUUUCUUAACUUCCCUAUCCCUCGAGGUAAUUCUCUAAGUUUUACACAACAACUAACAUCUAAACGUUCUAACUUAUAUAACUCACACAUGGUCUCAGGUAAUUUUUCUAUCUUCUUUAUACCUUUCAAAUUAAGGUAUUUCAAAUGUAACAAUUUUUCUAUAUUUGUUGGAAUUUCCUUGAUGUAAUUCACACAUGACCACCUAUCACGAUUUAAUUUUAAUGCCCUUAAACAAGUUAAUUUAUCAAAUAAUUGAGGUAGGACUUUGCUAGACCAUGAAUGUUCAUCACUUUCAACUAAGAGGCUACGCAAUCGUCGCAAUCGUUUAACAUUACCCCAAAUGGAGAUCGGAACCGAAGCCCCUCUAUAUAAAGUUAACAUUAAAUGAAGGAUUUUUUUCUCCCCAAAAGAGCUCAUAGCUGACUCUUCACCACCAUGAAUUUCUAUUGUUGAACACUCAUUACUACAUAAGUAUUGAGCAAAGUCAUGCACUAUAUCGUGCAUUUUGCAAGUAGAGAUUUCACCAUCAUCAUCUUUUUUAAAAUCCUGAAAGAAUGAAUGGCUAGCUAAGAUGUUGAAAUACUCUUCACCAAUAUCCUCCAUCUCUUUGGCCCCUUUCUCACUAAGAUAACCUUGUGCCAUCCAUAGGUUAAUUAACUCUUUUUUUUGUAUGCCGUAGUCUUUUGGAAAGACGGCACAAUAAGUGAAACAUUGUUUAACCUUAGAGGGCAAUUCAUUGUAACUCAACAAUAGAGGGGUCAAAAGGCCUCUCUCAACCUCUUCUAGUUCCCAUAUCUCACUCUCUAAGAUAUUUUGCCAUUCUUUUUCAGUGUUUCUAGACUGCAGGAGACUAGCAAUCGUCUUUGCAGCUAAAGGUAAGCCCUUGCACUUGCUUACAAUUUGUCGGCCAAUAUUUUCUAAUUUUUCACAUUCCUCCUUGGACCUGUCGAAAAAUGCUAACUGCUCAAACACUGACCAGCAUUCUAUUUCAGACAAUACAUUGACAGAGGUAACAUUGGUUGAUCUGAUACAACGGGCAACUCUAUCCUUACGCGUGGUAAUCAAAAUUUUACUUCCAUGGAGACCAUUCUUUAAACAUUUGUAGAAUGGUUCCCACUUAUAGUAAUCUUCGUUCCACACGUCGUCUAAGACAAGAAGAAAUUUCUUCCCUUCAACCCAUUCUUGAAUGUGUUGCAUGAGAGAUUGAAACUCUACAAGGUCUUUGGCGGAACCUGGUUUCAGAGCCUCAAUGAGUGCUCUAGCGAUUCUGAACUCAUCAAAAGGAUCUGACACACAGACCCAUAUUCUUUCAUCAAAAUGUUUUUUAACAUCACCGUUGUUGUAGGCAAAUUGAGCAAGAGUUGUUUUGCCUAUGCCCCCCAUCCCAACAAGUGAGAUGAUACAAGGGCCUUUCUGUUCCUUACUGUUAAGGAAGCACACAUCAGUAGCAUAGACUGUAAAGCAGAGGAUAGCAGCAGCUCCAGCUUACAGUUAAGAGUUGAUGACAUGGCAUGCCAGCUGGCACCUGGUGGUUAUGUAAUCACUUGUUCACGUGAUAAUUAGUUGAAGUUGUUAUAGCUAGCUAGAAUUAGUUUUGUAAUGAGUUAACUAAUUGAGCUUAGCAUCAGUUGUGUAUAUAAGCAUCUCUGUGUACAGUUUCAUAAGUAAGUUUUAGAUGAAUAAAAUCGUGUGAGCAAAAAGCUUUCAGUUCUUAAAUUUUCUCAGCUUCCAAACAUCCUUUUUCUGAUUUCUUACUUGGUAUCAGAGCUUUAAUGGCAUCUGUGAAUCUUGCCUCUUCCUUAAAUCAAGUUCAUAAUACCGCUGCACAUUCAACAACAGUCAAUUUCACUUUCAAUACUCCCGUUAAACUUGAUCAAUCAAACUAUUUGAUCUGGAGAUCUCAAGUGCUUGCUUCAAUUUGAGGAAAUAGACUUGAGAAAUUUAUCGAUGAGUCAAUCACUCCACCUCCUUCUCAUAUUGCUCAUAGAUAUGAUGAUGAGCUUAGAUCUGUGGAGAAUCCAGAAUUUGCAACCUGGAGAGCACAAGAUCAAAUACUUCUCGGUUGGCUUCUUUCAUCCAUGAGUGAAGGUAUCAUCAGUUUGGUGUUCAAUCUUGAGACUUCAUUGGAGGUAUGGAAAGCUGUUGAAACUCAAUUUGGAUCUCAAUCAAAGUCUAGGUUAUUACAUUUGAGAUAUUUGAUGAAUUCCACUAGAAAGGAUGAUCUUAAAAUGACUGAAUACUUCAUUAAAAUGAAAUCUAUUGCUGAUAACAUGGCUGCAGCAGGAAGUGCAUUAAGCAAUGAUGAUUUGAUUUUACAUGUACUCUCUGGUCUAGGUCCUGAUUAUAAUUCUGUUGCUACUUACAUCACUGGACAAGUAGGAACUGGAAAAAUGAAUGUUAAUGAGGCUUAUGCUAUGCUGUUAACUCAAGAGGCUAGGAUUGAUCAACAAACUCAUAUGCUUGCUAAUAUGGAUGUUAAACACAAUUUAGAAGCUAACUUUGCACAAAAUAGAGGACCUAAGAGAGGAAACUUCUCAGGAGGAAAAGGUUUUGGUAGUCUUGGAUAUAAUACAGGCUACAGUAAUGCUGGAAAUUCUGGAAAUAGUGGUUACAGAGGAAAUUAUGGAUCAUCUGGUUUUGCUGUUGGAAGUGCUGGAAAUAAUGGUUACAGAGGAAACUAUGGAGGAGGAGGAGGAGGAAACUGGAAUAAUAAUAAUGCUGUCAAUAAUGGCAAAACACCUGGAAAUCCUAAAUCUCAGUGGAAUCCUUCUAAGCCUACAUGUCAAGUUUGUCUCAAAAUAGGUCACACAGCUAAUGUAUGCUGGAAGCUGGAAGAAUUUAUUGCUUCAGGAGCUUAUAGACCACCUCCAAACAGGAAUCCGAAAUCUGCAUAUCUGGCAAACAUGGAAGGAUCAUCUGAUACAAAUUGGUACCUUGACAGUGGUGCCACUCACCAUCUCACAAAUGACAUGAACAAUAUGCAGAUUUCUGAAUCAUUUACAGGUACAUCUAAACUCAUUAUUGGUAAUGGUACUGGCUUGAAUAUUACACAUAUUGGAAAAGCUGUUCUGAGAUUGCACAACUGCACUGAUUCCACUGUGAUUAAACUAAACAAUAUACUUUUAGUUCCACAAAUAACCAAGAACCUUAUAAGCAUUUCUCAGCUAACCAAAGACAACAAUAUCACAGUUGAGUUUGCUGACAAAUCUUGUUUUGUGAAGGACAAGGUGAAGAAUUUGAUCAUACUGCAGGGCAAGGCUGAAAAAGGCUUGUACAGAUUGCUAUUAGUGUCCUCAAAUAAAACUUCUGCUCAGUCUUCCUUUCAAGGUCAUGUUGCCAAUAUUGAGUCUUCUUUUCAGUCUUUUGUUCCUUUGUCAAUGCUAUCAACUGUCAAUCUCAGUCAGUCAAAUAAUCACUGCUUGUAAAAUGUGGCAGCAGAACCUUGUAUGAACUCUAAGUGUCUUUUAAGCACUUCUGUAUUACAUCAGAGGCUAGGUCAUCCUAACUCUAAGAUCUUAAACCAUGUAAUACAAUCUUGUUCCUCUUUCAAACCUAUCAAUGGAAAUAAAGAGUUUGAUUCAUGUGAUGCUUGUAAAUUUGGGAAAAUGCAUAGAUUACACUUUCCAGCAACUGAAACAAAAACAAAACAACCUUUAGCCAUUUUACAUACUGAUUUAUGGGGACCAGCUCCAGUGGUUUCCACACAAGGUUAUAAAUAUUAUGUGAGCUUUGUGGAUGAUUUUACCAGAUUCACUUGGAUAUUUCCCCUGAAAACCAAAGAUGAAACUCUUCAUGUGUUCAAAAUUUUCAAAGCUCAAGUUGAAAAACAAUUAGAACAGCCCAUUAAAUGUCUUCAAUCUGACUGGGGAGGGGAAUUCAGAUCCUUUAGCAAAUAUCUUCAAGAAGAAGGGAUAGAAUUUAGACACUCUUGUCCUUAUACACAUAACCAAAAUGGUUUGGUAGAAAGGAAACACAGACACAUCACUGAAUCAGGACUUACUCUUCUUGCACAAGCUAAAUUACCUAUCAAAUUCUGGUGGGAUUCCUUUCAUACAGCAGCCUAUCUCAUUAACAGAUUACCAACACCUAUUCUAGCAAUGAAAACUCCAUAUGAAUCAAUCUUUCAUCAUCAACCAGACUAUAACUUUCUAAGAACAUUUGGAUGUUCUUGUUUUCCUUUUCUCAGAGAAUACAAUAACCAUAAAUUUCAUUUCCAUACUUCAAAGUGUGUCUUCUUAGGAUAUAGUCCUUCACAUAAGGGCUAUAAGUGUCUACAUUCAUCAGGCAAAAUUUAUAUUGCCAGUCAUGUAUUGUUUGAUGAAACCACUUUCCCUUACAUUUCAGAUCCAAAUUUUUCUUCCUCUUCUAAACACACUUCCUCUGAUUUUCAAUAUAAUCUUUUUCAAAGGUUUACUCUGUCAGUUCCUAAUAGCAUUCUGAACAGUCUUGAAGCUACUGCAGCAGAUCAAUUCCCUGUCAAUCAUUCUUUAUCAUCAAAUUCACCUCAAUCUCAGUCACCCACAAAUCAGACCUCUACAUCUUUGCCUUCACCUGCACCCCAGUCACCAGCACCACAAAUACCCUGCACAACACAAACAUCUCAGCCUAAACCUUCUACUUCCACCCAUCAUAUGAUAACCAGAGCUAGAGCUGGUAUUUUCAAACCAAAGACCUUUCUAACAACUCACAACAGCUUAGAACCAUCCACUGUCCCUGAGGCAUUAUCAGAUCCUAAAUGGAAAGAUGCAAUGCAAACUGAGUAUGAUGCUCUUAUUCACAACAACACUUGGACUCUUGUGCCAAUGUCUUCAACAUACAAGCUAGUUGGUUGUAAGUGGGUAUUCAGAACAAAGUAUAACACAGAUGGAACUGUCAGCAAGUAUAAAGCUAGAUUGGUUGCAAAGGGAUUUCACCAAACAGCAGGGGUAGAUUAUUCAGAAACUUUCAGUCCAGUGGUGAAGUCUUCAACAGUUAGAGUUAUACUCAGCUUGGCAGUUAUAAAAGGGUGGAAAGUCAGACAAAUUGAUGUAAAUAAUGCAUUCCUUAAUGGAGAUCUUUCUGAAAACGUAUAUAUGACACAACCAGAAGGCUUUGUAACUAAGGAAGGGUACAUCUGCAAACUCAAUAAAGCUCUCUAUGGUCUAAAACAAGCUCCACGAGCCUGGUAUGAAAAAUUGAAGGGUUGUCUAACUACUUGGCAAUUUCUUAAUUCAAAGGCUGAUACAUCUCUAUUCAUUAAACAUGAUACAAGGGGCUUAAUCAUAGUAUUGAUCUAUGUGGAUGAUAUUCUAGUCACUGGACCAGAUUCUGCUUUACUAGAGGAUUUUAUUGUUAAACUCAGUCAGACAUUUGCCUUGAAAGAUCUGGGAUUAGUUGCUUACUUCCUAGGUGUUGAAGUUAGUUACUUUGAUGAAGGUAUGCAUCUAUCUCAAACAAAGUAUAUUAAAGACUUGCUGAGUAAAGCAUCUAUGGAGAAUUGCAAAGGGUCUGAUACUCCUCUUAGUACUGGUUUGAAGCUAGAAAGAAAUGUCAGGGGUCCUUUGGGUCAGGAGUUCGAAAAUCCAACACAAUACAGAAGCAUAGUUGGAGGGUUACAAUAUCUAAUUCUCACCAGGCCGGAUAUAGCUUAUUCAGUUCAUAAGCUCAGUCAAUACCUCAGUUCUCCUACUGUUCAGCACUGGUUAGCCUGCAAAAGAGUUCUUCGAUAUCUCCAGUCAACCAUCACCUAUGGUCUCUAUCUCAGAAAGGAAGCAACUCUGGAAAUUGGAAUAACAGGCUAUACAGAUGCUGACUGGGCUUGUGAUCUUGACGACAGAAAAUCAAUUGGAGCCUAUUGUAUAUACUUGGGUAACAAUCUGAUUUCAUGGUCUUCCAAAAAGCAAGCUAUUAUAGCAAAGUCAAGCACAGAAAGUGAAUAUCGAGCCCUGUCAGCAGCAUGCUCAGAAAUUUCUUGGUUGCAGUCUUUAUUUUCAGAACUCAACAUUGCUAAACUACCUACUCCAGUUCUUUGGUGUGAUAACCAAAGUGCAGGGGAGCUAGCUCGCAACCCUGUGUUUCACUCAAAAUCUAAGCACAUAGAGUUGGAUGUUCAUUAUGUUAGAGACAAAGUGCUUGGAAAAGAAUUGGAGGUUAGAUACAUUCCUACUGAAGAACAAGUAGCUGAUGUUCUGACUAAGCCCUUAUCUUUUUCUAAAUUCAGCUUUUUUAGAUCCAAGCUCAAUGUCGUUAGUAGACCUUUGAGCUUGAGAGGGGAUGUUAAGGAAGCACACAUCAGUAGCAUAGACUGUAAAGCAGAGGAUAGCAGUAGCUCCAGCUUACAGUUAAGAGUUGAUGACAUGGCAUGCCAGCUGGCACCUGGUGGUUAUGUAAUCACUUGUUCACGUGAUAAUUAGUUGAAGUUGUUAUAGCUAGCUAGAAUUAGUUUUGUAAUGAGUUAACUAAUUGAGCUGAGCAUCAGUUGUGUAUAUAAGCAUCUCUGUGUACAGUUUCAUAAGUAAGUUUUAGAUGAAUAAAAUCGUGUGAGCCAAAAGCUUUCAGUUCUUAAAUUUUCUCAGCUUCCAAACAUCCUUUUUCUGAUUUCUUACUCUUACUACUCUCAUAUAACAACCUAUUAACGAGUUCGUUCUUCUCUUUUUGUCUACCAAAUAUCUCGGACUCAUCAAUUGAGGAGAUACUUGCCGGCCCUCGUUGAUCCGCUCUCUCAUUACUCUUGGUAACAUUCACAGCAAAACCAAACAUGGCUUUUUGUUUGUCAAUAUCAUCAAGAGUUUCAUUGAUGUCUUUCAUCUUGAGAGCAAUGCGACGACGUAAAAAAAUAGGUUUGCAGCCAAAGCAAGAGGCAGCAGGAAAGAAGGAACCUACCUUCUUCUUAGGAACGAGAGCAUCAUUCUCAUGAUCAUCCACCCCAUCGAUCUGCAGUUUGAGCCUUGCAGUGUUCCACUCACCCAACACAUCUUCCAUGUCGUAACAUGCGCAUCUGAGUCGAUCGAGCCAGAGUCUGACAGUUUCCUCCUUUACUUGCCUUUUCUCUGCAUCAUGGAGCACAGCUCGAAUGGCUUGGAGAUUGCUGGUCAGCUUCUUCGAUUCCUUUCCGACACCCGUUACAAGCCUCAAUUGUUCCUUCGCCUCUUCAACAGCCAUUGAGGUCAGCAGCUCCAAGAGAGGGGAAAUGAUCGCAUCAACCAUGGUGAAAAAGAAAAAUGAGAGAGAGAAGAAAUUGAUGGUGAGUUGUAGCAAAAGUAAGUAGCUAAUGCUGAAAGAAAUGAAGGAGCUGAUAAUGUGGUGAAAAUGUUGCCGUAUUCUUUCAAUUCUUAUAGUACUGCAAGCAAAAUUCUAAUUUAGAAAUAUUUCAUUUCAGCCCCUUGUGAAAGAAGCUACUGUUAUUAUUAUUACUUUUUUUUUUUUUUAAUACCAGCAAAGAGUGAAAAUGACGUACAGUUGUGGACAGGAAAUAAUAUAUUGUUAGGUCCUACAUCGGCGAUUCACGCGGUAUAUAAAGAAACUGACAAAGUUUUCUAUGAUCUCUUUUUAAAUAAUUGAACAAGUUGUUAGAUAAUAUGUAUGAUCGUGUCGUCAUAUUGAGAUUUGGAAGCAUUUAGUUGAAAUACCUUGACCAUCUCUUUCUUAUUUUCUUCUUCUUCUUUUCUUUUUUUUUAAAAAAAUUUGACUCGUUUGCAUAAUUAGUUGAAAGGAAAGAAUGAACAUACUAAUAAACUAGGAAAACGCUGCCACAUAAUAUUUUAAGAUUCAUAUCGAACCACUUUAUUUAGAUUUUGUCAUUUUAGCAGAUGUCUGAUAGUGGGAGUUUAGAGUUUAAUCUCUAACUUUGCUUGUGAAGUGUGAAAAAUCAAAUAAUCUUUUCAACUCGUUUUUCAACAAAAAUAGAUAACAAUUCAUCAUCAGUUAUUUCUCUUUAUGUAUAAAAUGAUCAAUCUAGAGCUGGAUAUUCACAUGUUUUUCUAUUUCUAAUCAUUUCAAAAUAUAAUAUGAACUUUUAAAAAAAAAUCAAAUUGUAAUAAAGUGACAUAAAUAUUAAAAAAUAAAAAUAAAAAGUCAAAAACGUAAUGCCGAAAAAAGACAAAACCUUUUUGUUUGUUCUAUUCAUGGCAUCUAAAUAUGAGAAAUGAUGGGUUGAUUGUCAUUGUGAACAACCAUAUUAAUUGCAACACGUGAAUACCAUCAAAGUUAUAAUAAUUUAUGGACCCAUGCACCUGUAUUUCUAAUUAUUCCGCGUAGAAGGCUAAAGUUUAAUGUGUGAUUCUCAAAUUCAUUGUCAAGUGAUUUGAAUGUUUUAACGAACAGUGCUUACUUUUCUUUUUGAAGGAGCACAAUAACAACUUGAAGAUUCCUGGAAAUUGCCUACAGCACAAAUAUUUUUCAAUUGAACAAAAACCAUCAAUAAUUUUCAAACUUAGAAGAUAUUUAUUUUUUUCCCCAUAACCCACCAAAAACUUUUUCAUUUAGUGUAACUUUGUAAUUUUCUUAGAUGAUACUUAAAACUGCUAAUAUCUUCUAAUUAUUGUUUUAAAAAUCUCAAUGAUUGCAUGCCCAAUUAACGGAUCAGUAAUCUCAGUUUGACAUAUUUAUUUAAAAAAAAGAAAUAUACAGAUUGUUUGAUGACUCUAGAAUAGAACAUCAGGAAAUGAAGAGAAAAAGUAACAUACUUUAUGACGAUCAUUGCCGAUGACAUAACAGAUGUAAGUAUUUAUUGCCAAUUAAUUGACAUUCUUAUCAAGUAAUUGUUUUAGACUUGAAUUCAAAAGCUCUACUCCGCUCUGCCCUUCGGUAAUUCCCCUGUUCAAAAAAUAAUAUUGUUUUAAAAAUCUCAAUAACAACAUGCCCAACAUAACAGGAAGAUUCGACUUUCUCAGAAGAACUACUUGAAAAAAAUCUUGCAACGCUUCAACAUGCAAGAUUGUAAGUCAAUUUCCACCCCACUUUCUGUCAAUUUCAAGUUAUCCUCAAGUAUGUGUCCUAGUAAUGAAGCAGAGAGGAAGGAGAUGUCUCGAGUACCAUAUGCAUCAGCAGUGGAAAGUUUAAUGUUCGCUAUGAUAUAUACUAGACCAGACAUUGCACAAGCAGUGGGAGCAGUCAGUCGAUACAUGGCGAAUCCUGGUGGAGAGCAUUGGAUAGUUGCGAAGAGGAUUCUAAGAUACAUCAGAGGAACCUCAGAUGUUGCAUUAUGUUAUGGAGGAUCAGAGUUUACUGUCAGGAACUAUGUGGAUUCAGAUUUUGUAGGAGAUCUUGAUAAAAGAAAAUCCACUACUGGCUAUGUGUUUACACUUGCGGGAGCAGCUGUAAGCUGAGUUUCUAAACUGCAGACCGUUGUGGCUCUAUCUACAACAGAAGCAGAGUACAUGGCAGCUACACAAGCUUGCAAGGAAGCUAUCUGUAUACAAAGGUUAUUAGAGGAGCUCGGGCAUAAACAAGAGAAAAUUUAUGUGUUUUGUGACAGUUAGAGUGCCUUGCACAUUGCAAGGAAUCCAGUCUUUCAUUCCAGGACAAAGCACAUAGGAGUUCAGUAUCACUUUUUUCGAGAAGUAGUGGAAGACGAAAGUGUGGAUUUACAAAAAAAAAUCCAUACGAAUGAGAACCUAGCAGAUAUUUUGACCAAGCCGAUCAAUGCUGGCAAGUUUAUCUAGAGUAAAUUAGGGAUGGCAAAAACCGGGUCCGGGUCCGGGUUUGGCCUUUCCGGUUCCGGACCCGGAUGCCAAUUCUCCUUCCCGGAUCCGGAUAUAAACCCGCAUUUUCUUUCUCCGGGUUCGGUACGGGUUCAACCCGGAAAAAUCUGGGUUUCCGGAUUACGGGUUUUGAACCCGAAAAGUUGGAGUCUGGAACAAUAAAGCCUUUGUGCAUGCCCCUUUUGACUCUGGACGAGUGGAUUAGCGGUUUAUUUGAGGUGUCGGUUGAGACACCGGCGAGUCCAGGAAGCAGCAGCCAUGAAAGCAGUGAGCAAGGUUUGAGAUCCAGCAUCCACGAACAAGAGAGAGAUGAGAUCGAGCGCCAACAAGAGUGGAUUAGCAGUUUCUUUAAGGUGUCGGUUGAGGCACCAGCAAGUCGAGGAGGUGGCAGCCAUGAGAGUAGCGAGCAAGGUUUGAGAUCCAGCAUCCAAGAACAAGAGAAAAAUGAGAUCGAAUUUGAUGAGAGAUGAGAGAUAAGGUUGAAUUUGAUGAUGCCAAAGAUUGUUUGUUGCUUUUGAUGAUGAUUGAUGAUGAAUUGACAAUUAUUUAAAUUGAUGUUGAGGAUGAUAUUGAUUGUUAUUAUUGUUGAUAAUGAAUUGACGAUGGGUGGAUGAUGAUGAAUUGAAUUGAUGUUGGGGAAGAGGAAAAUAAAGGUGGCGGCUAAGGUGGGGAUUUAGGGUUUCUUUUCGUUUCUUUCCUUUUUUUUUUUUUUACUUUUGGCUUUUAUAUUUAUAUUUAAUAAUAAAAAUUAAUUAAUUAAUAAAUUAUUAAUAUUUUAGUGCAGGUCCGGGUUCCUGGAAUCCGGGUUUGGUUGAACCCGCAACCGGACCCGCAUGUAUCCGGGUUUGAAAAAAUGCUACCCGGAUCCGCAUUUUUAUGCACCCGGGAUGGGUUUAACCCGGACCGGAUCGUCCGGGUUUAUCCGGGUUCGGGCCGGGUCCGGAAAAAUUUGCCAUCCCUAGAGUAAAUCCUCUUGUGGCCUAGCAGAAACGUAGGCAACAUGAUUAUGUCGAAUCAGAAAGGAUGGUGUGGAGAUUGAUUGAUUCUCAAUCUAAUCUCCAAGUGGGAGAAUGUUAAAGUCAUGGUUGGGAGGUGUCACCCAAAGAAAGAAACAAAAGAGAAAGAAGAAAAAGAAGAAAAAAUGGGUACCGGGCUAUAAAGGGCAAAGAAAAAAAAUUAAUAAAAUAAUAAAAAUAAUAUAUGAUUGAUGAAUAGUGCCAAAACUUUCUCUAUAAAUAGAAACGAAGAGAAUGAGCAAAUUCAUUUCAUCGAGAGAGAAGCAUUUCCUUCCUUUAGAGAGGUGAGAGUAUCAAGAGUUUAAUAAACUCUUGAGUGAUUAGUGUUUUGAGAGUUUGGGUGUAUUGGGAUUUUAGGUAGUGAGGUAAAAUACCACAAUACUUGUAACUCCUUUUCACUAGUAAAAUAUUUUUCUUCUUUUUCGCCCGUGGACGUAGGCUAAAAGUCGAACCACGUAAUUUCUUGUGUCCACUUUUUGUGCUUGUUCUUUGUUUUCUUACAAUUUCAUUUUAGCUGCGUGUUUGCUUCACUCAUCAAGUAAACAUCAUCAAUCAUUUUCGUUUUGAAUUAUGAUUUUUCAAUCCAAAAAGUAGAUGCCAGUAAAAGAGAGAGUUAAACUUGACUCACCCGCUUUUCUAAUUGUUCUGAUUUGUUGUAUAAUUUAUUCUAAAGUUAUUUUAUAAUUUAUCUAAAACGUAUAUAACACGUUCUCAAUUUUAUUACUAUAAACUUACGCUGUAUUGUCUAGUCUUAGUAAGUAACGACUCAAUUGGAUGUGGGAGGAUCCCUUCCGCUUUGACCAAAAAAACUGUUUCGAGGACAGUAUUCUAACUCAACUCAAGUGCUGAACAAAGAAAGAAACGCUGAGAACAUUAAUGAAAGUUAUCAUACAGAGCAAACAAGUCAAGAGUACACACAAGAGGAGAAAUAAUUAACACAAUUAUUUUACAUGGUUGAGUUUCUCUAAGCCCACGUCCACGAAGACAGACACUUGGCCAAGGAAAUAAUUGACCAAGGAAUUUACAAGGAAACUCUCUUUUCCAGAAGUUACAAGAGCCCUGACACUAUUCCUCUCGAGGUCUAGUUCAAGUCGCCCAAGCCUCUCAAGCUCCCUUAAGAACUCUGCUUUCUUGCUGUUCAAGAAAGCGCCUGAUUGGAAUCACAUGCUCCACGUGACAUCUGGCAUAACUAAAUCUGCUGCCGUACCCGGCCAAUUUAUGAUGCCACUUAUGAUACCCUGUCUCGUCAGCUUCCUUGCCCUGCGUCAUCAUAGGACCUUACAUCUUGGAACCUCCAUGAAAGCUGAAUCUCUAACAGCCCAUCAUAAAAGAUAGUAGUUUUAAAAUAUGGAAAUUACCAAAAAUACCUGCACAUUUUGAAAUUUGUCAAAAAAUGAAGAGUUGAAAGCAAUAGGAAGACGUAAUUAACCAACCAAUUUGAUUCCUCUGAUCGCUUUCAUCUCAGGACUCUUUGUCUUCCCGUGCGUCUUCGAUUCCACAGGACAAUCUUGGAUUGAAUUUAUACAUCAGAAGAAAAUAUCAAUAUGCCCAAAAUAAAAAGUUGCUUCCAGUGCAGAAAUAAGAGAAAUUGACACACCUUUUUCCACCACAGAAGAUGGUGUCAUAUAGAAGUAUUCUGUCGCAGACUUAACAUACCUAUCAAGUAAUUAAUAAUUCAAGAUAUAAUAACUCUUGACAAUUAUAUAUUCAUAUACAUGUUAGUAGCAUGAUGCUACCAAUAUUCGCACCUUUAGCAUUCAAACACUUGAUCAUUGAAAGAAUUUAAGAAAAAUGUUGUUUGGUUACUGAGAAAAUAUCUCAACAAAAUUUUCAGAGAACUUUCCGGAAUUCUUGCCUGUAUUUCACUUAAUGAAAAAUGUUAAAAUUACAUUCAAUUUAUAUUCGAUGCUUUAGCAUUACUAUAACUAACUCAGAACAUACUACACAUGCUUAACUACAGCUCAAUAUAUACAGAGUAAGUCAUAACAAACUUUUAACUACUUAUGCUGAGGUGGCAACUGAGCUGUUAUUCUGCUUAAUCAUCUGACGUCAACAACUUGCUGGUUUUCCUCAGCUUGAGCGUCUUCUUCCUUUCUGGACAAUGAGCUUCUUUAACAAUCAUUGAAGCAGCCUUUCUCACCAACCUAGCUCCGACAUUAAUCUAUAGAGUUAUCAAGACCGACAUUCGAUGACGUAAUUACACUUUAAUUGGAUUACAAAUAACAAACGAAUAAAACGGAGCAGCAGAAGAAAUUACCAUUGGCUGAUGGUUGUUGCAGGCGUUAUGAGAAUUCCUCAAGGGCUUCCUUUGAUCAACUUCCCAUUGGUCUCGAUGUUGGAAACGUGGGAUAUCUUAGGCCCUGUAUCCUUCUUGCAACGCUCUUCUGAAAUAGAACAUCUCCCACCUUGCCCCUGCCGAAGUUAUGAGUCACCCCUCAAUUUCAAUCGAAAUACUGCUCUGCCAUGCCCUUACACCGUAACGUAAUUACUCUGUUCAAAAAUCUUGCUUUGAAAAUCUCAGUAAUUGAACAUGCUCAAGAAAUCAGUCUCAGUUUGAUGCAUUACAAAAAUAAUCAACCACACAAUGGGCUGAUGAUUAUCUACAAUUGAAAAUUAGCAAAUGAAGAGGAGAGAGCAACUACAAAAGCAACAAUGUCCGAUUAAGCCGCUGAUACAAUCAAUCAAACAAUAAGAAAAGGAUCAACAACACAAAAAGCACACGCAAGGCACAAAGAUUUACAUGAUAUAUCCACAGGUGGUGAGCUGGUAUCCACUAUACGUGUGAUGAAAACAAGUGUAUAUAUAUAAAGAACACCACCACCUGUCUCCUCACAAUAAACCCCUAGAACACAAGCGCAAAUAAAAAUGAGCCAAUUCCUGCUCUGCUCUGCCGUCAUGUACGUAACUCCUCUGCUAAGAAAUAUUGCCUUAAAAUAUCGGUAGCAUUUGCAUGCAUGACCAGCAAAUCAGUUAGACAUAUAAAAUUAUCAACCACACAGGAAAUCAGCAAAUCAGUGGUUUCAUGAAUUUGUAAUAUUUGAACAUCAGAAUAUGAAGAGUACAGGGCAAUGGGAAAAAGUAAUUAACCAACCAAAUAAAUUUAAAUCCAAAUAAGAUAAGUAACGUAUGAAAGGAGGGUUGAAGCCCACCUUAGAAACUCCUGUCUAUGAAGGCCAAUAAAUCUCCUGCUAUCUGUUUGCUUAGAUCUUUAUGUAUUUCUAUACACUUUUUACUCUACUCUGUUGUUCAACCUUCUUUGGUUUUAUGUAUCUAUUUUAUGUGUAUUGAGAAGGCUAGUUACUAGGUGUCAACUCUUCUCUUUAAAAGAUAAAGUUUUGAGAAAAGGAAAGAAAAGACACCCACGGCCAACUACCUUGUCAUAUUUUGCAUACCAAAAUUGGAUAUUAAUUAUGGUCACUGUCUUCAACCUGCUAACCAAAUCCAAAAAAUUGGUCCUCCCGAUUGAGUAAGUGAGCCCUGAAAAGACAUUACCCAGCUUAAAAGCCAAAUGAAUGUAGACUUGUGAUUGGUGUAAUUGGUUUUAAAGAAACUAGUAUGCAUCCCCACUGAAAACCAGUAAAUGGAGUUGAAGAAGAUGCUAAUGUACCACAGCUAACAUAAACAUAAUUUGAUCAGCCGAAUGACUACCAAAUGAAAAAGCAACAUAAACUUAACAGAACUGUUAAGGAUUAAUCGAAGACACAUAUAUAUUUGUGCCAAUUUUCACACCUUUAGCAUUCAAACCUUGCUCUAGAACAACUGCUGUGGUCCGAUGCUGCAGGCAAAAAAUUUGACCUACGAAGCAGCCUCACUCACCAACCUAGCCCCAAAUAAAUUUUUUGAAAUGCCUUGAAAACCUUAACAUUAUAUCCAAAUAAACAUAACUUGUGUUUGUGGCGUAAUGAGAUUGCAGUGCAUUCGUAGAGUGUACACUUAUCUGCCAUUUCGUCGGAACAAAUUUUUUUUACUUCUCUUAAAAUUUGCAUAAUAAAUAGCAAUAUGGACAAGUACCUACUUAUGAAAAUGUUAAGAUAUUUUUACAUUUCUUCUUUUUUUUUUAAGGAGUAAAAGUGAUUAUUCAUUUUGUUGAUGCCCAUUUACUCUAUAAAUGCCACCAUGAUCACUGAGAUAUGUUCAUGAAUAAGCAUCUACCAUCAGAUCGAUUCGAAAACGGAAAGGAAUAGAGAAAUAAAAGGUGAAACAAAUGAAAUCAUUUAAGGAGAGGAACGAGAUUCCAUUGUCUGGUUAUAACUGGAAAUCAAGCAUGAAAAAGGAAUUGAUUUUUUUUUUUUUUGGUUGACAGAAUACACUUUCAACUAGAAAAAAAAAAAGAAAAUUUGAAUCUGAUAUUUAACAGAAAAUUCAAAUAAAAUCAAAUUCAUUUGUAAUUUAAGUUCAUUUCAUUCUUAAAAUUUGACAUAUAGAAUAAAAUUUAUAACUGUUUCAAAUACAAAAACAUAUUAUUAUUCAAAAUAAUAAAAAUUUUCAUGGCAAAAAGUUAAAAAAAUAAAAUAAAACUGUUUGACGUAGAAUGGAAUUGAGCAGGGAAAGUUUGAUGGAAGAUGCACACACUAGUUGUGGAAUUAUACCGUUAGUCAUUUUAUUAAAAAAAAUAAAAUAAGAAUAAAAAUCACCUCGUUGAAAGAUUAUUUGCUACGAUUAAAAAUUUUAUUUGGUGAGCAAAACGACGUAGGGUCCUCAAAAACCUCAUGAUGGUGCAUGUAUAUUCAAAGCUUCAUGACAUCAUAAUAAAAAUGUUUUGUAUUAUGAUGAGUCAUACGUUCACUUGUUGAACUCGACCCUCACAGCGACGGAGAGGACCAUUUGCUGUAUCCUCGAAGACUACCAGAAGGAGGAUGGUGUGUGUGGAAGUACCAGAAGAUCUGCAAUAUUGGAAAUGGUUCAGCCGUGAUCAUUGGCAAUCAGACAAGAUUAUUGGCAAUAUUGUAGGCUUGUGUCUUUUACCCGUUAGAAGGAUAACUUGUGCACUUAAAUUUGGCACAUCACUUGUUUGACAAAAUUACAAAGCAAAUGUGUAACUCGUGUACUCUUCCUUUUUUAUCAUAAUUUUUGUACUAUAAAUAUGUACCUGCAAAUAGUGAAAUAUACACACAAAAUCAAUAAUUUCAUGAAUUAUUCUUCUUCUAAUUUUUACAACCUUUCAUGGGUGGAAAGACUUUCCUGCCUUUCAAGGCCUUGCCAGCUGCUGAAGCCGAAGGGAAGAAAUCCAAGGCUUUUUUUAGUUCAUCUAUUAAAUCCCCAGAAACCAGUUGCAGAACUAGUGGGAAAUCAAAUAUUUUUUAGUGGAAACAAAUACGAAACUAGUCCUCAAAUUAUUGUGUAAUGCAUUUUGCAAGAAAUUUGAUAGCCUGAUUAUGUUAUCCACAUCUUGAACUUUUCAAGUUAUGACGUGUCGGGAUUUGUUGCUAAACCAUACAAUUAUGAAAUUUUGCAACUCAAUCUUGUAUUGUUGUAUUUCCUUGCUUUCAGUUUUCUUGAUCAGAACAAACAACAUAAAUAAUGAUGCUAUAUUAAAAAAAUUAAAAGAAUUUCACUCGCCCUUCAUUUGUUAUCAACAAUAUGAUAUUGCCUGGGAUCUUUCGGCUUAAUCUUCCAGUGCCCAUUAGCCAAACUUGCAUUCUCAGCGAUUCUUCUCCAUUUCUUAAUCCUUUUAUCCAUAUGCUUUGUUAAUGCACAGUACUGUUGCAAUUUCUUAGGCAUCGCGUCAUAAACUUGCCACCAUUUCUUAUGAGCUGAAUCACUGGCAAAUACAUGGAGACUCACCAUGUCCCAAUUGCAAUCAUAGUCCUUGUAACACAUCCAUGGCUUUAACCCCAGAUAAUGAAUUGCAUAAAGGCCAUCACCCACUUGAUGUUCCUUAUCGUCUUGCUUUGAAAACACCUUCAAAUUGUUGAUUCUCUUAGGCAACCUAUGCCACCAUGUGAACACUUUAUUAAGAAAUCCCUGGUCACCCCCAUUGUAUGACGAAACCUUAAAGCUUUUGAGCAUCAUAUCUUCAAACUUGCACAAUGAUGGCUCAAUCACCAUCACCCCAGAAUUGAACAACACUUUGUCAUUACCUGCUGCUGAUAAUUCAGGGUAAAAGAAGAACUCAUCGGUGUUUUUGAGUAUUAAAAGAUCAGAAUCAAUGAAGAUAACUUUAUCAUAUUCAAUGAGUUGCCAUACUCUAAGCUUGCUAUAAUUCCACUCAUUGUACGAAUCUUUCUUGGCAAAGGGGCUACGUAUGCGCGAAAUCCACUUGGUUUUCCAUCCGGCAGCUCUCAGGCCACGGAGAGACUUGCCACUUAUUGAUUUAUCAUGAAGGAGAACGAGAUCUCUAGUCGAGUUUUUUUGGAUUAUGCUUUGCGCUAAAGCUAUUGCACCACAUACAUAAGCUUCUGAUGAAUGUAGAACUGUUACAUAAGCUUCUCUUUGAUGGUACGUUGUGUAGUUCAGUUUUGCUAGUCUUGCUUGUGACAUAAAAUAUCUCCAUAUUUCUUUGCCUGUAAAUCAAAAUAAAAGCACUCAAAUAUUAAUUUUAGGUUAAUUUUGCAAAAUUAAGAAAAAUGAAUUACGUAUGAAGGUUUGAAGAAGUCGUGGUGUCCGGAUUAGGUAAUACUUUCACGGAAAUUGAAAGUGCAAUUGUCUAAUGCCACAUAAGUCUUAAUUAGGAAAUUGAUUUAUGUUGGCUGAGUUACCAAAUUUUCACACAAUCAGAAUCAUGACUGCUGACUGUAUACAUUCUGUGUCCGUAGAUUAUUACAACUCUUUAAGGAUAUCAAAAUUGAAGAACCCGUCAAAUUUAAACCAAUUACACAUGUGCACGAGUUGUGCAUAUUUAAUUUGGAUGUCUCAUUUAUUAAUGCUGAACGAAUAAUUUACUAAAAUUUGAAACUAAAGAAAGCAGUAAAUUAAUGACCCACCAUGACCAAAUAAAUCACGCACUAACCUUUUCUUUUUUUCUUUUUUUUUUUCCUGAGAACACCUCAAAUUUCCGAAGAAAAAUUAAAUAAAAUCUCCUGCAUCCAUCUCUUGUGAACAUUUUAUAUUUUUUUAUAUGCAACAAGCUUUCAUUAAAAUUUAAGAUUCUAUCUCUAGAAUAAACUCCAAAACAUAUCGAUUAAAAUAACAAUAAGAGCUUAAAUACUACUUCGUAAAUAAUCAAGAAAUAUGACAAGCAACAAGAACAACAACUACCAAUUCAUAAAGAUUUUUACGAAAUUUUAAGUCAAAUUUUAAUGCAUAAUAACAUUGUAAAAUUCUUGGAACUGAGUACAAACAGUAAGUUAGCAUUUGGUUAGAAAAUUGUACAGAUUUUCUUCUUCAAGUGAUAUGACCAAAUUUUCUUCAGUUUCCAAACUACUCGCCAAACAAACAAAAUGUUUUCGAGAAACCAGGGAAAAAAAAAAAAGAAGCAAAACUCACCAGUUUGAGCAAAAGUAGGAGCAAUUUGGCAUGACCCAACAGGCAUCAAUACUUUAUGUUUCAAUCUCCUCAAGUCAGGUUUAUAAACCCAAUAAUCCCCUGCAUGCUCCACAAGAUCAUCGCACCUGAACAUCUCCACCAUGGCCCCACAAGAACCCACAAAGACAACGUACACCGCCCGAUCAACAUCAGGUUUCAACCACCCACUCUCCACCGCUAGAUUCGCCACCACGAGAUUCACUUGCAACCUAAACACAUCCCUCAUCCCACCACCUCCUUCUCCGUCCCCUCCGCAGGGAAUCCUAGCCACUAUCACGUCGAGGUACCGGUAAUCCUGCGCCGGCAUGGGUAUAUCCGGGCACGCCGGUGGGGCCCACUUGUGAUCUUCAUCAAUCCACUCCGGGAAAAAGUCUUCCCAUUUUUUAUCCUCACCCACAUGGUCGAAACGUACGUGAACAGUUUCAACAUGCAUGUCACCACGUACGCUAUUAUAAUCAUCAUCGUCGUCGUCGUUUAUAUUUACUAAACCAACUUUAAUUUUGUGACCGUUGAUAUGUUUUUCGACAAUAUCGAGCCAUUUGGGUCUGUGUAAUAAGUGGUUAGUAUUAUAUUUAUUAUUUGGCUCGUAAGCGAAAUGGGGUUGUUGUUUAGGUUUGAACGACAAAACGACAAGGAAAAGCGAGAAGGAGAGGAGAAGAAGAGAGAUUAUGAAGAGCUUUUGACUGAAAUUUGUGGGUUUGUUAGAAGAAGAUGGUGAUGAAGCUGCAGCCAUUUGAUUGAAUUUUGCUUCACGUCUUUGUUGAAAGUUGAAAGAUUUGUUUUGAGUCGACGUUUUGUUUUAAGUUAUAUCCAACGCAUCGAAUUGGAAUGAAAAGAAUCAAAGAUUGCAUUGCAGCAUGUUGAGCUUUGUCAAAUUGUCUUCUUAUGUGUAGGUAUUUUAUUUUCACACGCAUUUGAUGCGCGUGGGUAGGUUUACUAAAUGUAUUUCUUUUAUUAUUAUUAUUAUUAAGAUUAAAAUAUACUUCUAAGUUGUCAAAUUAGGCUUCUGAUAUCCUAUAUAACAAGGCAACAAACAUAAUAAACUUGUUACUUGUUAGAGUGCAAUUUAUGCACUAGUUUUGCAUUGUUUACUUCCCUUAAUAUCGAUGUUUUGCACUUAAUAAUAAUGUUUUACUUGUGUUUUACUUUUGUAGGUGCAAUUCUAUUGAUUGAUGAUAAAGUUGAGCUAAAAGAUGAUGUUUAAGGAGGAUUGUUCUCUUGGAGAAAUUAUGAGCGUCAGAAGAACUUUGUUGAUAAGGCGUGGACACGUGCUGUCAACUGCGGACCUGCAGUUUUUAGUUUAACGUGUUUUGUAUUUUUGGUUAUUUUUGUAAUUACGAAUUUAAUAUUUCAGAUAUUAGUAUUUUAUUUUAAAUAGAAUUCUAAAAGAGAAGAGAGAGAGAGUAUUUAAGGGAGGAAUCUAUUGUGAAAAAGGGGGAUUUGGAUUGGAGAAAAAGAAAGAAACCCUAGAUCUAAAUUUUUCUCUUCUCUCUAUGAAGAACUAAACCUAUUUUUCUGGUUGAAGGAUAAUGAAGCUUUGAUUCAUCACUACUGUGAGAUCUUUCUUAUGCUUUAAUUGUUUUAUUGCUUUUUGGGUAUUUGUUUAUUCUCUGAAUUAUUUUCAUGAUUAUGUUUGUUAAUUAGGUAAUUGGCCACUAUUUAAUUAUCAACUUAAUCUAUUGUCAAUUAAAGGAUUCAUCAUAUGAAGAAUUUAAUGUUUGUGACAAAUAACAUAGCAGAGAGUUGUGUUGUGAGAAUAAACAAUCUAAUUUAAAUGAAUCAUCAUAUGUGUUGAUUAGGAUUUGGGUCUCUCUGGUUUUUUAGGCUGUCAAUUGAUUAAAUCCUAUGAUCGUAUCUAGGGUUGUCUAUUGAUUAGGGAAAUAAUCAACGGUCGUACCUUGGUUAUCGACUAGUUAAGGAGAGAUUGGCUAUUAGAGGGUCUCAAUAGCUAUAACCGGUCUAUUCAUAAGUAAUAAUAAUCUAUAUUUGAAUUAAUGAUCAGUAGUCGAAUCAAGCUGAGUUAAUUCCUUCAACCAGAGCUUUCUCCAAUUUGAAUUACAACUUUAAUUUGCAUUCUUGUUAUUUUUAAUUUGAUUUUUAUUAUUGUCAACAAUUCCCCCAUUUUACGUUUUACGUUUCAAAAGGAUUUAAAUAAUUACCGAUCUCUGUGGACACGACCCUGCUCAAUCACUAUAUACAAUUUAUUUAGAGUAGGAAUUUAUUUUUGUUGGCUUCGACAAACAUCAAAUUUUGGCGCCGCUGCCGGGGAUUGGUGUCAUUUAUUUAAUCAUUUUUACGUUUUACUUGGUGUAUGGUUCGUUCUUCUCGUACAGGUACACUUUCAUUUGAUCCUGAAAUUGAGAAGAUAGCUCGCCAGCUGAGACAGCAGACGAAGCGAGCUAAGCAACGAUCAUCGUCGUCUUUGCUUUCUGAAAUAGAUACAGUACCUGAUUUAGUUGAAUCAUCUAGCGAUUCAGAAGAACAAGUGAUGGAUAGACCUGCACCUGUAGAAAGAACUCUUAGAGAGUUAGCUAAACCAGACUUGAAUCAACAACCACUCUGCAUUCAAUAUGUAGAUUUGGAGGUAAAUUUUGAAUUAAAGUCUGGUCUUAUUCAUUUAUUACCCAAGUUUCAUGGUUUUGCAGGUGAAGAUCCUCAUAAACAUCUUAAGGAGUUUCAUGUUGUGUGCUCAAGUAUGAGGCCACAAGGCGUGACUGAAGAGCAGAUUAAGCUGCGUGCUUUUCCGUUCUCUGUAGAUGGGCUAGCUAAAGAUUGGUUAUACUACUUGCCUCUUGGAUCGAUUACAACGUGGAAUGGUUUGAAGAAGCAGUUCCUUGAGAAGUACUUUCUCAACUUCCUGGGGAGACUUUGUAUGAGUAUUGGGAGCGAUUCAAACAAUUGUGUGCCAGCUGUCCUCAGCAUCAGAUUUCUGAUCAACUUCUUAUUCAAUUUUUUUACGAAGGACUGUCAUUGAUGGAUAGGAGUAUGAUAGAUGCUGCUAGUGGAGGCGUGUUGGUGAACAAGACCCCUACUCAAGCAAGGGAGUUGAUAUCAAAUAUGGCUGCCAACGCACAACAAUUUGGCAGCAGGCAAGAUCUCACUUCAAGGAAGGUGAAUGAGGUAAAUAUUUCUUCUGUUGAACAACGUUUAGAUAAACUUACUUCUCUUGUGGAAAAGUUUGUUGUAGGUAAUGUGCAACAGGUGAAGACUUGUGGCAUUUGUUACAAUAUGGGUCAUUCAACUGAUAUGUGUCCUACACUACAAGAAGAACCCGUUCAACAAGCCAAUGCAGUUGGAGGAUUUCCAGGCAUGCCUCAGAGGAGGUAUGAUCCUUAUGCACAAACAUACAAUCCGGGAUGGAAGGAUCAUCCCAACUUCAGCUAUGGAGUUAGGCAAUCAAGAUUCUCACAACAAUAUCCACCAAGACAACCAGCACCUCCACAGUCAAACUCCAAGUCAGGUAUAUCUCUUGAAGAAAUUGUUAAAUCACUUGCGACUAACACUCAACAAUUUCAGCAGGCAACUACAGCAAGCAUUCAGAACUUGGAGAACCAAAUGAGUCAAUUGGCAACUACAGUGAGCCGUCUGGAGUCUCAAGUAUUAGGGAGAUUGCCUUCACAAUCUGAGGUGAAUCCAAAGCAAAACGUUAGUGCUAUCAUCCUUAGAAGUGGGAAGGAGUUGCAAGAGCCUAGUAAGAAAGUGACAGAGCAUGUAGAAGAUGAGCUUGAGAAGAAUGAAUUGAUGCCUCAAUCUCAAGAUGAACAACCCACCAAAGCGAAACCCCUACCUAUUGUGAUACCUCCUCCUUUUCCAAGCCGGUUUGCAAAAUCCAAGAAGGAGGAACAAGAUAAAGACGUCCUUGAGACUUUUCGCAAAGUUGAGGUAAAUAUUCCUUUAUUAGAUGCUAUAAAACAAAUACCUCGAUAUGCUAAAGUCCUUAAGGAACUGUGCACCUCUAAGAGAAAAUUAAGAGGAGAUGAAAAAGUUCACAUGGGGGAGAAUGUUUCAGCAGUUCUCCAAAAGAAACUACCUCCUAAGUGCAAGGAUCCAGGUAUGUUUACUAUCCCUUGUAAAAUUGGUAGUGUUAGAAUUGAAAAGGCUUUGUUAGAUCUAGGAGCUUCUAUUAAUGUCAUGCCUCGUUCCAUUUAUUCAUCUUUGAAUAUUGGUCCAUUAAAAGAAACUGGCGUGAUAAUUCAACUAGCUGAUAGGUCUAAUGCAUACCCUGAUGGGGUAUUAGAAGAUGUCUUAGUACAAGUUAAUGAGUUGGUUUUUCCUGCUGAUUUUUAUGUACUUGAUAUGGAAGAGGAUAACUCCUCUAAUUUUGUCCCAAUUUUGCUAGGAAGACCUUUUCUUAAGACUGCUAGGACUAAAAUGGAUGUACAUAAAGGGACUCUCACUAUGGAGUUUGAUGGAGAGGUUAUAGAAUUCAAUAUGAAUGAUGCCAUGAAAUAUCCGAGUGAGGAACAUUCGGUAUUUUCUGUGGAUGUUAUUAACUCUAUAGUACAGGAAGUUUUUUACAAGGAAAAAACGAAGACAUUUCAUGAUAGAAUGAUUUUAAGAAAAGAGUUAUCUAUUGGUCAAAAAGUUCUUCUUUUUCAUUCUAAGCUUAAACUUUUUCCGGGUAAAUUACGUUCUUGCUGGGUUGGACCUUUUAUUGUUACUAAUAUUUUUCCUCAUGGUGCAGUUGAGAUUCGGAGUCCGACUUCUGACAAAGUUUUUAAGGUUAAUGGUCAUCGCUUAAAAACUUUUUAUGAAGGUUUUUCGGUGAAUAUUGUAGAGGAUGUGGCUCUCGAGAGUCCCAAUUAUGGAGAUUGAUGCAUAAAUGUGUCUAGCCAAAGACAUAAAACAAAGGCGCUUUUUGGGAGGCAACCCAAAUGAUUUAUUUAUUUUGGUUUUUGUUAUAUCUUCUUUUAAUUUUGAUUCAUAUUUUUUUUAAAUAAUGUGUUUGCUUAUUUUGGUCAGAAGAAAAUUUUUGAUAAGGCGUGCCCACGUCUUAACUAAUAAGUACUUCUGUGAUUUUUAAAGUAAAAUGGUUUUAAGGCGUGCCCACGUGCUUAUUAGAAAAGUACUUCUGAAAUUUUUAGUGUUUCAAGUGAUUCAUCACUAAAAAAAAAAAAAAAAAUUGUUUUCUUUCGCAGCAACAGCCGCUCUAGCCUUCACCGAGCAGCCCGUGCGCAACUAUCUCACCAUUUCCGCCAAGCCCAUAGACGUUAUGAGGAUCAAAGCUCACAAUUCAGGGAAGUUUUUGCCUUUAAUCUUUUAUCCUUACGAUUUAAUUUUUAUGUGAGCUUUGAUUAUCUUACAUUGGGGACAAUGUAAGUUCCUGGUGUGGGGGAGGGAUUUUUGCAUUAUUGAUGUCUGGAAUUAUUAUUUUCACUCUGCUCAUCUAUUUUCACUCUACUCAUCCUUAAAUGAUUUUGGAGUUAGUAUGCUUCAUAUAUUAUUAAUUUUCUUUUCCUUUCUCUCUCACUACUCUUUUCCCAUCUAUCUCAAAUUAUUUACAUCUAUUUUUUUUUUCUCUAUCAUACUCUUUCAUCACUCACAUUUUAUCUUUCAUUUUUUUUAAUACAUACAUCUUUCUCGCUUAUUAUCCUUUUUACCUUUCCUUUUAUAUCUCACUCAUACCUUCUUCUCAUUCUACACCACUAUUGAUGGUUGAUUCAUUUGAAGAGUGUACAUGAUUUGAUGGCAAUUUUACCAACUUUGUGAGGAUUUGAGCCUAUGAGCAACCACUUUGCUCUAAUUAUUUUUGUUAUGUGAAUAUCAUUCCUAGUUUGUUUAUUCUAGAACUUGCUUUGUUAUGCAUGUUGAAGCCACAUUACGGGAUUUUAUGCAUUAAAAUGAUAAGGGCAAACCAUUUACCAUUUUUCUAUUCUCGCAUUUUCCUUUUUCUCUACCUGAAGACCUUUAUUUGCUACCUUUGUUUGAGCCUUACCCAUUACCCAUCUAAUUCUCUCCGUCUACUUAACCAUUUUUCUUCUUUUUGAGCCUCAAUUUAAGGAGAUUUUUGGACUCAUUGUGUGGAUAUAUUUUGUUGCUUUUUCUACCUUGUAUUAAAGUUUCUCAAUUAGAUCAACAAGCAUUAUGCUUGAAUUAAAUUGUGCAAGGUUCGUUUCUUUUGUUUGAUUCAAAAAAAAAAAACAAAAAACAAAAAAAAACAAAAAAAAAGGAAAAAGAAAAAAAAGAGAAAAAAGAAAAAUCGAAAAAAAAAAAGUUUACAUUCUUGGUGACUUGAGUAGAAAUAAGCAUUUUGAUAUCAUAAGUUCAUUCAAUGAGUUCAUUCUUCUCGUUUUGAUCUCUUUUUCUUUCGUAAACCUUUCUUUUUCAUUUAACCCCAUUACAAACCUUUUAAGACCCUUAUAUUUUUGCAUUUUAUUCAUGUUUUGUGGAUUGAGAUGUGAUAUAUGAGCAAGCUUAUGGUAAUAGCAUUCUUUGAUUUGAUUUGAGUGCAUAAAUGAUACCCUAAACACUUUGAGUGCAUGGAGUGAAGUUAUUGAGAGGGCUAUUAAAUCUUGUUGCACUUGAAUUUUGAAUGGAUCUUCUUGGUGGUUGAAUGUUCUUAUUCUAUCUUAUGAAAUUCUAUGCUUUAAAAUCCUUGUCUCUUGAAUGUUGAUCGACUUAAUUUCUUGAGGUAUGCUUGCUUAAAAUUGUUUUUGGAUGAGUUGAGAUGAGAAUUGAGUGGAGAUUUGAGAUUAAUCUUGAGUUAUAUGCUUGAGGACAAGCAUCAUCUUGGUGUGGGGGAAUUUGUUAGAGUGCAAUUUAUGCACUAGUUUUGCAUUGUUUACUUCCCUUAAUAUCGAUGUUUUGCAUUUAAUAAUAGUGAUUUACUUGUGUUUUACUUUUGUAGGUGCAAUUCUAUUGAUUGGUGAUAAAAUUGAGCUAUAAGAUGAUGUUUAAGGAUGAUUGUUCUUUUGGAGAAAUUAUGAGCGGCAGAAGAACUUUGUCGAUAAGGCGUGGGCGCGUGCUGUCAACUGCGGACCUGCAGUUUUUAGUUUAACGUGUUUUGUAUUUUUGGCUAUUUUUUUAAUUACAAAUUUAAUAUUUCAAAUAUUAGUAUUUUAUUUUAAAUAGAACUCUAAAAGAGAAGAGAGAGAGAGUAUUUAAGGGAGGAAUCUAUUGUGAAAAAGGGGGAUUUGGAGAUUGGAGAAAAGAAAGAAACCCUAGAUCUAAUUUUUCUCUUCUCUCUAUGAGGAACUAAACCUAUUUUUCUGGUUGAAGGAUAACGAAGCUUUGAUUCAUCACUACUGUGAGAUCUUUCUUAUGCUUUAAUUGUUUUAUUACUUUUUGGGUAUUUGUUUAUUCUCUGAAUUAGUUUCAUGAUUAUGUUUGUUAAUUAGGUAAUUGGCCACUAUUUAAUUAUCAACUUAAUCUAUUGUCAAUUAAAGGAUUCAUCGUAUGAAGAAUUUAAUGUUUGUGCCAAAUAACAUAGCAGAGAGUUGUGUUGUGAGAAUAAACAAUCUAAUUUAAAUGAAUCAUCAUAUGUGUUGAUUAAGAUUUGGGUCUCUCUGGUUUUUCAGGCUGUCAAUUGAUUAAAUCCUAUGAUCGUAUCUAGGGUUGUCUAUUUGAUUAGGGAAAUAUCCAACGGUCGUACCUUGGUUAUCGACUAGUUAAGGAGAGAUUGGCUAUUAGAGGGUCUCAAUAGCUAUAACCGGUCUAUUCAUAAGUAAUAAUAAUCUAUAUUUGAAUCAACGAUCAGUAGUCGAAUCAAGCUGAGUUAAUUCCUUCAACCAGAGCUUUCUCAAAUUUGAAUCACAACUUUAAUUUACAUUCUCGUUAUUUUAAUUUGAUUUUUAUUAUUGUCAACAAUUCCCCCAUUUUACGUUUUACGUUUCAAAAGGAUUUAAAUAAUUACCGAUCUCUGUGGACACGACCCUACUCAAUCACUAUACACAAUUUAUUUAGAGUAGGAAUUUAUUUUUGUUGGCUUCGACACCCAUCACAACUAUCUAAGACUUAUAAAUUCUUAAAAACUCUUUCUCUUUGUAUAUGGUAAGGUAAGAAAUUUGAGAUCCAUCUUUAGUUCGAAAAAAAAUUAUGUCCAAACUCAAAGUCUUUCCUUAGUGAAGCAAAGAAAUUCGUACCAACAAUAUGAUCAUAUAAGCAAAUUAUUCGUGACCAACAAUAAGAAAAUUAUGUAUCAUACAUAAGUCAAUAAUGAGAUUUUUUAAAAAAGUUAAUUAUAGUAUAAUUGAAUGGUAACUUAAUUUUCUCCUACCCAUGUGAGCUAAGUGGUACAUAAGAAUGAGAGUUUUUUGAAUAAUAACAAAAAGUGUAAUAAAAUAUACUUAUCUAAACUAAACGCUGCAUAAAAAUUUCCUUUUAUAUACUACUCUCUCUCCCCCCCCCCCCCCCCCAACAAUCUAGGUAUUUUUUUAAAGUUCAUUUUUUAAAAGAUUGGAGAGUGGAUUAAAUCUAAAUCGAUUUUUUUUAGCCUUUACCUCCCUUAAAAUUCAAAAUCUAUUAGCUAGUUAAAUAAAAGUACUUGAAAAUUAUUUGACUAAAUCAUUGAGGGCAGAAUUUAGACACUGAUAAAUAGUUAAAAAUUUCAAUUAAAUAUGAUCAUCUAUUGGCAUUCUUAAAGUUCCGUAAUCACAGCCAGUACAAUGGUUCUAUCAAAUGAAAUAUUUCUAUCCAAAAUCAAUUUCUUUUUUAUCAUAUGGAAUUAAUCGAUUUGGAAUUGUGGAUUUUUAAUAGAUAUAAUAAAUACCCCAAGUAUGGGUGCUUUUCCAAUCAGGGAUCCCUGACUUUAAUAAAGUCAGGGAUUAGCUAAAAGAUAAAAAAGUUUAAAUUUUACUACACUACAUGAUAAAAUACAGUUUAUUGAAGUAUGUGUUUAUUUUGUCUUUUAGCUAAUCCCUGACUUUAUUAAAGUCAGGGAUCCCUGAUUAGAAAACUACUCCCCCAAGUAUUUUGAUAAUAUUCUAUAAUUAUCGUUGAGUUAGUGUGUGGCUUCGGGUCACCGUCAUGAACUUGGUCAGUCUAACAAAUAUAACGUAACCCAUGGUAUCAUCAAAAUAUGUGCAACGUUGCUCAGUAGAAACCAAAUCAGAUUAGGGAAAUUAUCUCUGUUGUCUUGGUCAAUCUUUUGUGACUUCAUCAAUAGACAUAACAUGUAGCCACGCCACAAUUUUUAAUUUUAAUUGGAAUGCUUAGAAGUCUAUUAAAAAUUAUAAUGUAACCUAACUAAGAAUAAUAUCAAUUUUUCUAUUUUAAUCUAAUAUUUAAUUAAACUAUUGCCAUUAUUGCACUUAGUCAUGGCUCAUAUGUGGAUCCACUAAUUGUUUCGCACCGUUGAUUGAUUGAGGGACGGUCAAGAUUUGAUUAAAUAUUGGAAUUGGUAUGCGAUCUCAUUAAAGUUGACUUCUAAAAUUGCAUUCUCAAUUAUUCAGAUUUAAAAAACAAGAAUGAUAAUAUGAUAGUUACGUUUUAAUAUUCUACGUUUGAAAUAUUAUGUUUCUUCUCAAAGCUGCAAAUCUCAUUUACAUUACCUGGUCAAAGACUUCUUGACAUAAAUUAUUUAUGCUAUUAAUUCAGUUAGUUAAGGAUAUACUUUAAAUGAUAUGACAUUUAAUCAACCAACGAUACAACAUAUAUCGAUUUAAUAUUAAGAUAUCUAAACAUAAUGAGACGACAAGAUCAAUACUCAACAUACAAUUUAAUUUUAAUACAAUUUCUUUCAUAAAUAUUGAUACAAUAAUAUUGAAUCAAUGUCAUGUCACUUGGCUUACUUUAUUUACUUAUUACUUAACUCUUUUAGUACCUAUACGUCACUCAUUAAACUCGUAUAUAUUUUGUAUGCAUCGAAUUAUUGAGAAUAGAAUUCACAGAGUUCAACUCUUGUGCAUGAACUGAGGAUUUCUCUAUUAAGUUUACUUGGAUAUGAUUAUAUUUUUGUUCUCUAAUUAUCAUUUGUUUUCAUUUUUUUUCUAUUACAUAUGAUUUUCAUUAAAUCACAACUCUAGUUGGCAUUUCACAUCACCCGCAAUUGAUUAGUUGCUUUCUAAUCCAACAAAAUUAAUAUGGAAAGAAAUAAAUGGCAACCGAUAAAUAUUCCAACAUUAUGUAUUACGCUGAAGAUUAAGCCAAUCCCACUACUACAAAACUGAAUUUCUUUGACAGAAUGCUUUUUCACAUGAUCAUGUAUGUGUCAAAGUUUUGUGACAAAUAUAUUAUUUUGCUGAUGUCGCAAACACAAUCCUUUCAAAAUCUUUAGAGGCCUUGAAAUUUUGAUUAUCUAUAAGAGAAUAGUUACAAAAUUCUGUCACUAAUAGUAAGUUAAGUGAUUCUUGAUAGAAUACUAUCAAAACAUUUAUAUAAAAUCUCACAUUUUAAUAUUUUACAAAAAUGUGUUUUAAAUAUUUUCAUUUUUUUGACAUAAUUCUAUCAAUGAACUUUCUUUUUAAAUUUUUAAUUCCACUUAGGCAUUGAAAAUGACAUAGUUUUAAAAGAUUUCAAUGACUUAACUGAUGUGAAUAUAUCUUUAAUAAGUCAACGACAAAAUUCUAUCAAAUAAAAUUCAUCACCUUAUCAGAUAAACAAAGGCCUGCUCAACCAAUAAGAAUUUGCCAUCUAAAGAGUUUAAUGGGUCUUUCAAAAAGCCUGACUUGAGUCUGAGCUUGAGUAUUUCAGGUCUA
This 74297-nucleotide long non-coding RNA is filed under the name Citrus x clementina. RNAcentral's name for it is "Citrus clementina (C. clementina) long non-coding RNA (CCLE_LNC002972)". The stretch from base 47792 to 47928 matches the Rfam family "Small nucleolar RNA Z247". The record is from RNAcentral. Lineage: Eukaryota; Viridiplantae; Streptophyta; Magnoliopsida; Sapindales; Rutaceae.